RNAcentral lists this long non-coding RNA (71708 nucleotides) under Brassica napus (rape). RNAcentral's name for it is "long non-coding RNA (BNAP_LNC008273)". The record is from RNAcentral. Lineage: Eukaryota; Viridiplantae; Streptophyta; Magnoliopsida; Brassicales; Brassicaceae.
AAAAAAAAGGUAUGUUUGGUUAUAUCACAUGGUUUAUCAGCAUUUGAUCAUAUAUUUAAUUAAUCAAAAAUCCAAAACCAUUUUCAAUAUAACCAGCUUAUAUAGUGGAACAAUAGUAAAAUGAUUUAUUUUGUGAAUUGAGAGAUUAGCGCUCCAAUCCUCCACUAUAAUUUCAGAACAGAUCAUGCCAGAGAUAUCGAAGUAAAACUUGUUAAAGUACUAGUAUAGUUCGAUUAUCAUUAUUUCUCAAUGCUAUCACAAUACUUAAUUAGAUGCGUAAUUAUAAAAUUAAUAAAUAACAAGUAAGAAUCAAGGAUCAUGAGUAGUAGUGGCUUUGGAUGAGCUGGAAGACAACUAUAACACGAGUAGUUGCACAGUGUGAUUGGAUACCCUUACAGGUUUAUACACCCCGUCAGAAUCCACAGAGUUUUUAUAUAGUAGUUACGAAUUUUGCGGAAAAUUUCUGUGUUUAGUUUUGUUAUGCUUAAGCAAAGCAUCAGUUGCCAAUACAAAUUUUACCGAUGAAAACAAGUGUACGAAAACGCACUCAACAUAUCUUUUCAAAAAUAUUUAUAACUUAGUGUUAAUACUAUACGUUAAGUUUAAACUAUAAGUUUGUUCCGCUUCAUUUGCUUCGCUUGAUUCUAGUAUUUACACGCUAACUUUACAAUAUGUCUUUGCGAAAUAAUAUGUUUUACUUGUUCCAAUAUUCAUAUGACUAAUGGUCAUAUUCUAAAGGCCCUCAUCCUCUCCUUUGGUGACAUGUGCUCUAGUGCUGCACUAAUACUCAUGUUUUAAUUUAUUAAGCAAUAAAUGGGGACAAGAACCAAACAUCAACAAUUAUAACAACGCGUUAACGGAACGAAUAAUUAAUUUUUUUUUCUUUAUUUCUCUAAAAUAAAAUUGAAUAAUCCUUCAUUUUAAACUCUCUACCUUCUUCACGCGUAUUCUCCAACUUAUAUAAUUUAAAAUUAAAAUUUCCAACUACUUACCUUGUCUCUUUUACUCUUUUAUUAUUCUUUAUAGACUACAGAAACUCCACCUAAAUCUACUUUUAGCUUUUAUAUAGAUAGCAAAAUGUUUAAAAAUGUAUAUUUUUUUUGAAAAUGUUUAAAAAUGUAUAUUGACACAAAGAUAACGUGAAAGUGCAUAUUAUAGUUCAGUAUAAUAUCCAAAUUGUCGACUAGUGUUUUGUAUUUUGUUGGAGAUUUGAGUCUUACUCUUUAGUGUUUAAGUAACAAAUAGUUUUAGCUAUCUUUAUUACACAUGUCAAAAACAAUUACAAUAUGUCCUGGAAAUUGUAUGAAAAUGUUUUUGGAAUACAUUGAAACUUUUUUUUUCUAAACUCCAAAAGGUUAAAAUACUAAGCAAAUGGGUAACGUCUAGGUUAGUGAACGGUUGUACCGAAAAAGAUUUUAUAUAAGAAAGAUCUUUUCCCAAAUUAAUAAUAUUAACUGCAUACAUAUCUCUCUCCCCCUCUAUAAAAUAUAAUCUUCAGACAAUGUUCACUUCAAGUCUCUCUUGUGUAACAGAACAUCAAAGCUCCUUUUUCCUGAGUUCUCUGUUCUUAAAGGUCAAGAGUUAUGGUGAGAGUCAUUCUUCUCUACAAUCUUUUAAACUCAUUUCUUCUUUGUCUGGUUCCCAAGAAGCUUAGAGUUCUCUUCCCUCCUUCGUGGUACACCGACGACAAGAUCACACCACCGUCUGAAUCGGAAUGUUCUUUGAGAACAGACCCGGUGGAUCUAAAAAGAGUGUUUCAGAUGUUUGACAAGAACGGAGACGGCCGCAUCACAAAGGAAGAGCUAAAUGAUUCUUUAGAGAAUCUAGGAAUAUUCAUGCCAGACAAAGAUCUGAUCCAGAUGAUCCGAAAGAUGGAUGCAAAUGGAGAUGGCUGUGUAGACAUAAACGAGUUUGAGUCUCUUUACGGUUCGAUAGUUGAAGAGAAAGAGGAAGAGGAUAUGAGAGAUGCGUUCAAUGUGUUUGAUCAAGACGGUGAUGGGUUUAUUAGUGUUGAAGAAUUAAAGUCUGUGAUGGCUUCCUUGGGACUCAAGCAAGGUAAAACUCUAAAGUGUUGUAAAGAGAUGAUUACUCAAGUUGAUGAAGAUGGUGAUGGUAGAGUCAAUUACAAGGAGUUUCUUCAGAUGAUGAAAUCUGGUGGAUUUAGCAAUAGAUCAUCAUAAGAUUAAAGCUGAUUUUAUCCUUUUUUACUCUGUAAAUAGUUUCAUUUAAUGUUUUUGUAUUAAUCUUGAACUGAAUUGUUAAAACAUUAAACAAUCUUUGUUUUUUUCUUACAACUAUGAACGGUGCAUGCCACGUGACUUCGCCAGCUUGGAACACUCAUGUGUUGUAUACACUCCCAAAUGUUUUAGAGUUUUACCUCAUGCAAAAUAGGAGUCAAAAUAGAACUAAAGAGGUAAAAAUAGAUUGAUUUGGAUAUCUUUUGAUACUUUUUGGAUAUUUUACUUUGCUGUUUUGAUAAUUUUUGGAUAUUUUAUGUAUUUUAAAUAUUUUAUAGAUAUUAGAUCUAAGAUAACUAAAUAUUCAAGUAUAUAGUAAUGAAUAAAUUCAGUACUUGAAAUAUUUUGAUUCAGAUCGGAUUUACUUCUAAAUAUUAAAAUUUUGGAUAUAUUUGGAUAUUUAAUCAAUUUCGACUGAUAUUAUUUUUCGGAUUGGAUUCGGUUCUUAAUAAGAUAUAUAUAUAUAUAUAUAUAUAUAUAAAUUCAAAUCUUAAUAUUUUGCCAAUUUAGAGUUUUUAUCUCAUGAGAGUCAAAAUAGAAGCAAAGAUGUAAUGAAAGAUUGAUUAUUGGAAGAAGAUGGGUUUAUGGUCACGCAAAGUGGAUUAAAAAAUUCAGAUUUGAAUAUUUUGCCAACACUCCCAACUCCCAAGCUGGUUUGAAUCUCACUUUCAGAGUUAUCUUCUUUAACAGAUUGUUAAAGUUUCUCCAAUCUAUGUAGUAAUAAUAUAUAUAGCUUACUCUAUUCGACCAGCAGAAGGAUAUUACAGAGGAUUUUGAUAGCGCUUUAAAACCAUCUCCUGCUUAUAUACAUUUACACCAAACUCAAUGUUGGAACAUAAGAAAAACAAAACAAAACUUUCUUGAAGACAGUUGCAUGCUCUUUUGUUUUUGACAAGAAAAAUGUUUAUUAAGAGAAUCUCAGAGAAUGGGGGAAUAAAGAAGAGACGAUCUAUCUCCUAAAUCAAACCUGAGACAAAUAAAAAAAAAGACUAUACUUGGUUCUGUUGAUGAUCUCUCUGUUCCAGAUCCCUCACAUUGUCUACUAUGUGCUGGAUUCUCUUAGUAAGACUUUCAUUGUGCUGCUCAAUCUGUUCAAAGAGCAUCUCCAGAUGCCUCUUGUAAGUAGCAGCUCUCUUUUUCUCUGCAGCUAGCUGCUGCAUAAGCUCCUGGAUUUUAUCAUGCUCGUUCUGCAAAUGAGAAACAAACAACAUCAGAAUCAAACCAGCACACAUAAACAUACCAAAUAACAACUGAUAAGAGCAACAACUAACCGGAUACUGAUCAUAGAUGCAACCCCUUCGAACCCUUCCAGGCAUCAAAGGAUGGUUAUGCUCCUUGGCAAACUUUGUGAUAACCCAUUUACCAGAAUUUUCUUUUCUAAUCAAGAUCAUUGCUCUACACCCAACCCUUGUCUCCGCUCUCUGUCUAAUAACUUUGUCACGCUUGCUAGGCAACCUGUACCCUUCCUUGUUGCAAACAAGCUGCCUUCCUAUGGGAGAUCCAUCAUGUCUCGACCGUGAGAGUUUGCUAACACGGAUGACGAACCCUACUUUUGUAGCGUAAGCGUUAUAAAACCCAUGUGCUGCUGCUUCAGACUCGAACUCCUGCCCAACAUAAGGCUCAUCACCACCUUGAACCUCCUCCUCGGCCAUAUCAGAAACUGCCAGAGGGAUAGAAUCCAGAUCCACCUUCUCGUCUUGCUCAAGAGGCGUUGCUUGAUUGGAACUUUCACCUAUCUCGUUAUGGUUUUCAUCAUCGUCUUGCUCAAUCAUUGCUUGACCAGAGCUUUCACCCAUUUCAUUAUGGUUCUCGACUGAAAUCGUCAUCAUCAUCCCAUCAGCAUCACCAUUAUCAAUCCUGAAAUCCACUGCAAAUGAAAAACCAUUUGCACAAAGAGAAGCAAUCAACCGGAGGGCAAAAACACGUUUUAACACACAUUAGAUAUCAACAAAAGAACAAGUACAAGUUUUUAUCCUCUUACAAGAAGAAACCUUUAAGACAAAUCUUAACUACAAGUGGUUUUAAAACACGUUUUGACAUGCAUCAGAUAUCUACCAAAGAACAAAGUACAAGUUUUUAUCCUCUUACAAGAAACCUUUAAGACAAAACUUAACUACAAAUGGUUUCAAAACACACAAUUUUGUCAUACAUCAGAUAUCUAUCAAAAAACAAGUACAAGUCUUUAUCUUUUCUUACAAAACAGCCUUCAAGACAAAAGCUUAACUACAAGUGGUUUCAAAACUCUACAGACUCCACGACAAUACAAAAACAAAGUUCCCUUUCUUUAAGGGUAGGCCUAAGCAUGUUUUGAGAUGAAUCUAUUCAAAGAUUCAAGCUUUUAGCAAUGGAGAGUUCAUUAAAUCAUCAGAAAGUAUCGAGCUUUGAGGAACUAAAUAACGGUGAAGGAACAAAUCAAUCUUACUGUCAGAGUUUUUUUCCGGGAGGAUUCGCCGCCGGCGGAAUUAGGUUUUUCGAUGGGGGGAGAGACAGAGAAGGUGCCGGUUCAGGGUAUGGAUUACAAGGGACGCAGUAAACCUAUGACGUGGCGAGAGAUGAUUGGAUCGAUAUUGGGAAGAAGUCAACUCACCGUUCAUCUAAGCCAUGGGGUGGAUCGACUCUAUGGUUUGUACUGUGCGCUUCUCCUCCUCUGAUAACUCCUCGUUAUGCGUUUAGUUUAUUUUUUUUGCCUUUUAAAGAUUUUUACAGCGUAAUUCUCGCCGACCGGCCCACCGGUUCGACCGGUGUGUCCACUAAUUUUGAUACUUUUAGAAAUCGAUCCCUUUAUUAUCCUUAUUCUAUAGAAUCACCCCUGUAUGUAUUAACAUAUCCUUUUAAUUCCUUGCCUUUAAUUUACGUGAUUAAGCUAACUGCAAACAUGAUUAGUGAGCCUGUUCUUGAACUCCACACCCUAACAGAGCUAAUUGAUUAGUAAGGAAAAUGAAAAAUUAAUUAGUUAACAGUUGCAAAAUAUUCAUAUUGUAAAUUUUACCACGAUCGAAACGGUAACUGUAUAAAAUGCAAUUGUAUCUUAAAAAUUAAUAGUACUAUAUUUAACCCCCCUCGAGUGUCCAAUACAAAUUGAUUAAAUACUUAUGUUUCUUUUGGGUCGUAUCCGUUAUUAGCAUUUACCAAAGAUUUAAUUUCCUUUAACGUCUAAGCAUUGAAGGAAAAUCCGUUGAUUACUGGGGAAUAGGCAAUCAAAUAGUUUUAACAGAUCUCACAUAAAUAAAAAAGGAUAAGGAUCAUAUAAGUCAAACCUAAUCCAGUUUCUAAAACUAAUAAAAAUCACACAUUAAUAUUUUAGUAUAAUUAUACAUGAGAUAAUAUCCACUAAAUGUGUAUUAUCGAUAAUGAAAGUUAGUAACAAAUGAAAUAAUCCUUUUAGCAAAAACAAAAAAAAAACAAAUGAAAUAAUCGGAAACAAAAGAGGAUUAUAUGUGUUUAUCCAACAAUCCUUAGGUAAACCUUGCAAAAGAUGUAAAAAGCAAAAAAAUCCGGUCAAAGGACCAAUCAGGCAAUCACUGUUCUCAUAAGAUCUUAUACAUAAUUAGUGAUGAACCAAUCGAAUAUUUCGAAUUUAAUUAGUUACCAAAUACAUUUUCCGAUAUAUCCGAUAAUGACGAUUUAAAAUGUGGAUAAAUCUAAUAGAUUUUAAUUAAAACGUCUAGUGGAUUUGACUAAACAAAGUGAUCCUUAACACUUCUAUAUAAACACUCCUUCGUUCCUUAAUACACCAUCUCAUAUCCAAAACCUAAUCUCUCCCUCGGUUCUGUAAUUCUCUAACACACUCAUCCCACAAAUGGCUACUUCCACCGGCGAGAAUAGCUUGAUCGUUUCCUUCGGCGAGAUGCUCAUCGACUUCGUUCCCACCGUCUCCGGCGUAUCCCUCGCUGAAGCUCCUGGCUUCAUCAAGGCCCCCGGUGGCGCACCUGCCAACGUCGCCAUCGCCGUUUCCCGUCUCGGUGGCCGAGCUGCUUUUGUCGGAAAGCUAGGUGACGACGAGUUUGGCCACAUGCUCGCCUAGGCAACCUGUACCCUUCCUUGUUGCAAACAAGCUGCCUUCCUAUGGGAGAUCCAUCAUGUCUCGACCGUGAGAGUUUGCUAACACGGAUGACGAACCCUACUUUUGUAGCGUAAGCGUUAUAAAACCCAUGUGCUGCUGCUUCAGACUCGAACUCCUGCCCAACAUAAGGCUCAUCACCACCUUGAACCUCCUCCUCGGCCAUAUCAGAAACUGCCAGAGGGAUAGAAUCCAGAUCCACCUUCUCGUCUUGCUCAAGAGGCGUUGCUUGAUUGGAACUUUCACCUAUCUCGUUAUGGUUUUCAUCAUCGUCUUGCUCAAUCAUUGCUUGACCAGAGCUUUCACCCAUUUCAUUAUGGUUCUCGACUGAAAUCGUCAUCAUCAUCCCAUCAGCAUCACCAUUAUCAAUCCUGAAAUCCACUGCAAAUGAAAAACCAUUUGCACAAAGAGAAGCAAUCAACCGGAGGGCAAAAACACGUUUUAACACACAUUAGAUAUCAACAAAAGAACAAGUACAAGUUUUUAUCCUCUUACAAGAAGAAACCUUUAAGACAAAUCUUAACUACAAGUGGUUUUAAAACACGUUUUGACAUGCAUCAGAUAUCUACCAAAGAACAAAGUACAAGUUUUUAUCCUCUUACAAGAAACCUUUAAGACAAAACUUAACUACAAAUGGUUUCAAAACACACAAUUUUGUCAUACAUCAGAUAUCUAUCAAAAAACAAGUACAAGUCUUUAUCUUUUCUUACAAAACAGCCUUCAAGACAAAAGCUUAACUACAAGUGGUUUCAAAACUCUACAGACUCCACGACAAUACAAAAACAAAGUUCCCUUUCUUUAAGGGUAGGCCUAAGCAUGUUUUGAGAUGAAUCUAUUCAAAGAUUCAAGCUUUUAGCAAUGGAGAGUUCAUUAAAUCAUCAGAAAGUAUCGAGCUUUGAGGAACUAAAUAACGGUGAAGGAACAAAUCAAUCUUACUGUCAGAGUUUUUUUCCGGGAGGAUUCGCCGCCGGCGGAAUUAGGUUUUUCGAUUGGGGGGAGAGACAGAGAAGGUGCCGGUUCAGGGUAUAGAUCACAAGGGACGCAGUAAACCUAUGACGUGGCGAGAGAUGAUUGGAUCGAUAUUGGGAAGAAGUCAACUCACCGUUCAUCUAAGCCAUGGGGUGGAUCGACUCUAUGGUUUGUACUGUGCGCUUCUCCUCCUCUGAUAACUCCUCGUUAUGCGUUUAGUUUAUUUUUUUUGCCUUUUAAAGAUUUUUACAGCGUAAUUCUCGCCGACCGGCCCACCGGUUCGACCGGUGUGUCCACUAAUUUUGAUACUUUUAGAAAUCGAUCCCUUUAUUAUCCUUAUUCUAUAGAAUCACCCCUGUAUGUAUUAACAUAUCCUUUUAAUUCCUUGCCUUUAAUUUACGUGAUUAAGCUAACUGCAAACAUGAUUAGUGAGCCUGUUCUUGAACUCCACACCCUAACAGAGCUAAUUGAUUAGUAAGGAAAAUGAAAAAUUAAUUAGUUAACAGUUGCAAAAUAUUCAUAUUGUAAAUUUUACCACGAUCGAAACGGUAACUGUAUAAAAUGCAAUUGUAUCUUAAAAAUUAAUAGUACUAUAUUUAACCCCCCUCGAGUGUCCAAUACAAAUUGAUUAAAUACUUAUGUUUCUUUUGGGUCGUAUCCGUUAUUAGCAUUUACCAAAGAUUUAAUUUCCUUUAACGUCUAAGCAUUGAAGGAAAAUCCGUUGAUUACUGGGGAAUAGGCAAUCAAAUAGUUUUAACAGAUCUCACAUAAAUAAAAAAGGAUAAGGAUCAUAUAAGUCAAACCUAAUCCAGUUUCUAAAACUAAUAAAAAUCACACAUUAAUAUUUUAGUAUAAUUAUACAUGAGAUAAUAUCCACUAAAUGUGUAUUAUCGAUAAUGAAAGUUAGUAACAAAUGAAAUAAUCCUUUUAGCAAAAACAAAAAAAAAACAAAUGAAAUAAUCGGAAACAAAAGAGGAUUAUAUGUGUUUAUCCAACAAUCCUUAGGUAAACCUUGCAAAAGAUGUAAAAAGCAAAAAAAUCCGGUCAAAGGACCAAUCAGGCAAUCACUGUUCUCAUAAGAUCUUAUACAUAAUUAGUGAUGAACCAAUCGAAUAUUUCGAAUUUAAUUAGUUACCAAAUACAUUUUCCGAUAUAUCCGAUAAUGACGAUUUAAAAUGUGGAUAAAUCUAAUAGAUUUUAAUUAAAACGUCUAGUGGAUUUGACUAAACAAAGUGAUCCUUAACACUUCUAUAUAAACACUCCUUCGUUCCUUAAUACACCAUCUCAUAUCCAAAACCUAAUCUCUCCCUCGGUUCUGUAAUUCUCUAACACACUCAUCCCACAAAUGGCUACUUCCACCGGCGAGAAUAGCUUGAUCGUUUCCUUCGGCGAGAUGCUCAUCGACUUCGUUCCCACCGUCUCCGGCGUAUCCCUCGCUGAAGCUCCUGGCUUCAUCAAGGCCCCCGGUGGCGCACCUGCCAACGUCGCCAUCGCCGUUUCCCGUCUCGGUGGCCGAGCUGCUUUUGUCGGAAAGCUAGGUGACGACGAGUUUGGCCACAUGCUCGCCGGAAUCUUGAAACAAAACGGCGUCUCUGCCGAAGGUAUCAACUUCGAUACUGGAGCUAGGACGGCACUCGCGUUCGUGACGUUAAGAUCCGAUGGUGAACGUGAGUUCAUGUUUUACCGGAACCCUAGCGCCGACAUGCUACUCCGUCCUGAUGAACUCAAUCUCGAUCUCAUCAAAUCUGUACGUUAUUUUUACAUUUACUUAACUUGAAGAGAAAGAGGAAGAGGAUAUGAGAGAUGCGUUCAAUGUGUUUGAUCAAGACGGUGAUGGGUUUAUUAGUGUUGAAGAAUUAAAGUCUGUGAUGGCUUCCUUGGGACUCAAGCAAGGUAAAACUCUAAAGUGUUGUAAAGAGAUGAUUACUCAAGUGGACGAAGAUGGUGAUGGUAGAGUUAAUUACAAGGAGUUUCUUCAGAUGAUGAAAUCUGGUGGAUUUAGCAAUAGCUCAUCCUCAGAUUAAAGCUGAUUUGAUCCUUUUCUUACUCUGUAAAUAGUUUCAUUUUAUGUUUUUGUAUUAAUCUUGAACUGAAUUGUUAAAAAAUUAAGCAAUCUUGGUUUUUUUUCUUACAACUAUGAAUGGUGCAUGCUACGUGACUUCGCCAGCUUGGAACACUCAUGUGUUGUAUACACUCCCAAGUGUUUUAGAGUUUUUAUCUCAUGCAAAAUAUGAGUCAAGAUAGAAUUAAAGAGGUAACAAUAGAUUGAUUUGGAUAUCUUUUGAUACUUUUUGGAUAUCUUUUGAUACUUUUUGGAUAUCUUUUGAUACUUUUUGGAUAUCUUUUGAUACUUUUUGGAUAUCUUUUGAUACUUUUUGGAUAUUUUACUUGUUGCUGUUUGACAAAUUUUUGGAUAUUUUAUGUAUUUUAAAUAUUUUAUAGAUAUUAGAUCUAGAAUAACUAAAUAUUCAAGUAUAUAAUAGUGAUUCAGAUAUCUUUGAGUAUUUGAAAUAUUUUGGAGGUUUGAUUCCAGAUAUUAAAGAAGAGAAUAUCUAUCUCCUAAUCAAACUGAUGAAAAAAAGACUAUACUUGGUUCUGUUGAUGAUCUCUCUGUUCCAGAUCCCUCACAUUGUCUACUAUGUGUUGGAUUCUCUUAGUAAGGCUUUCAUUGUGCUGCUCAAUCUGUUCAAAGAGCAUCUCCAGAUGCCUCUUGUAAGUCGCAGCUCUCUUUUUCUCUGCAGCUAGCUGCUGCAUCAGCUCCUGGAUUUUAUCAUGCUCGUUCUGCAAAUGAGAAACAAACAACAUCAGAAUCAAACCAGCACACAUAAACAUACCAAAUAACAACCGAUAAGAGCAACAACUAACCGGAUACUGAUCAUAGAUGCAACCCCUUCGAACCCUUCCAGGCAUCAAAGGAUGGUUAUGCUCCUUGGCAAACUUUGUGAUAACCCAUUUACCAGAAUUUUCUUUCCUAAUCAAGAUCAUUGCUCUACACCCAACCCUUGUCUCCGCUCUCUGUCUAAUAACCUUGUCACGCUUGCUAGGCAACCUGUAACCUUCCUUGUUGCAAACAAGCUGCCUUCCUAUGGGAGAUCCAUCAUGCCUUGACCGUGACAGCUUGCUAACACGGAUGACGAACCCUACUUUUGUAGCGUAAGCAUUAUAAAACCCGUGUGCUGCUGCUUCUGAUUCGAACUCCUGCCCAACGUAAGGCUCAUCACCACCUUGAACCUCCUCCUCGGCCAUAUCAGAAACAGUUAGAGGGAUAGAGUCCGGAUCCACCUUCUCGUCUUGCUCAAGAGGCAUUUCUUGGUUAGAAUUUUCACCUAUCUCGUUACGGUUUUCAUCAUCGUCUUGCUCAAUCAUUGCUUGACCAGAGCUUUCACCCAUUUCAUUAUGGUUCUCGACUGAAAUCGUCAUCAUCAUCCCAUCAGCAUCACCAUUAUCAAUCCUGAAAUCCACUGCAAAUGAAAAACCAUUUGCACAAAGAGAAGCAAUCAACCGGAGGGCAAAAACACGUUUUAACACACAUUAGAUAUCAACAAAAGAACAAGUACAAGUUUUUAUCCUCUUACAAGAAGAAACCUUUAAGACAAAUCUUAACUACAAGUGGUUUUAAAACACGUUUUGACAUGCAUCAGAUAUCUACCAAAGAACAAAGUACAAGUUUUUAUCCUCUUACAAGAAACCUUUAAGACAAAACUUAACUACAAAUGGUUUCAAAACACACAAUUUUGUCAUACAUCAGAUAUCUAUCAAAAAACAAGUACAAGUCUUUAUCUUUUCUUACAAAACAGCCUUCAAGACAAAAGCUUAACUACAAGUGGUUUCAAAACUCUACAGACUCCACGACAAUACAAAAACAAAGUUCCCUUUCUUUAAGGGUAGGCCUAAGCAUGUUUUGAGAUGAAUCUAUUCAAAGAUUCAAGCUUUUAGCAAUGGAGAGUUCAUUAAAUCAUCAGAAAGUAUCGAGCUUUGAGGAACUAAAUAACGGUGAAGGAACAAAUCAAUCUUACUGUCAGAGUUUUUUUCCGGGAGGAUUCGCCGCCGGCGGAAUUAGGUUUUUCGAUGGGGGGAGAGACAGAGAAGGUGCCGGUUCAGGGUAUGGAUUACAAGGGACGCAGUAAACCUAUGACGUGGCGAGAGAUGAUUGGAUCGAUAUUGGGAAGAAGUCAACUCACCGUUCAUCUAAGCCAUGGGGUGGAUCGACUCUAUGGUUUGUACUGUGCGCUUCUCCUCCUCUGAUAACUCCUCGUUAUGCGUUUAGUUUAUUUUUUUUGCCUUUUAAAGAUUUUUACAGCGUAAUUCUCGCCGACCGGCCCACCGGUUCGACCGGUGUGUCCACUAAUUUUGAUACUUUUAGAAAUCGAUCCCUUUAUUAUCCUUAUUCUAUAGAAUCACCCCUGUAUGUAUUAACAUAUCCUUUUAAUUCCUUGCCUUUAAUUUACGUGAUUAAGCUAACUGCAAACAUGAUUAGUGAGCCUGUUCUUGAACUCCACACCCUAACAGAGCUAAUUGAUUAGUAAGGAAAAUGAAAAAUUAAUUAGUUAACAGUUGCAAAAUAUUCAUAUUGUAAAUUUUACCACGAUCGAAACGGUAACUGUAUAAAAUGCAAUUGUAUCUUAAAAAUUAAUAGUACUAUAUUUAACCCCCCUCGAGUGUCCAAUACAAAUUGAUUAAAUACUUAUGUUUCUUUUGGGUCGUAUCCGUUAUUAGCAUUUACCAAAGAUUUAAUUUCCUUUAACGUCUAAGCAUUGAAGGAAAAUCCGUUGAUUACUGGGGAAUAGGCAAUCAAAUAGUUUUAACAGAUCUCACAUAAAUAAAAAAGGAUAAGGAUCAUAUAAGUCAAACCUAAUCCAGUUUCUAAAACUAAUAAAAAUCACACAUUAAUAUUUUAGUAUAAUUAUACAUGAGAUAAUAUCCACUAAAUGUGUAUUAUCGAUAAUGAAAGUUAGUAACAAAUGAAAUAAUCCUUUUAGCAAAAACAAAAAAAAAACAAAUGAAAUAAUCGGAAACAAAAGAGGAUUAUAUGUGUUUAUCCAACAAUCCUUAGGUAAACCUUGCAAAAGAUGUAAAAAGCAAAAAAAUCCGGUCAAAGGACCAAUCAGGCAAUCACUGUUCUCAUAAGAUCUUAUACAUAAUUAGUGAUGAACCAAUCGAAUAUUUCGAAUUUAAUUAGUUACCAAAUACAUUUUCCGAUAUAUCCGAUAAUGACGAUUUAAAAUGUGGAUAAAUCUAAUAGAUUUUAAUUAAAACGUCUAGUGGAUUUGACUAAACAAAGUGAUCCUUAACACUUCUAUAUAAACACUCCUUCGUUCCUUAAUACACCAUCUCAUAUCCAAAACCUAAUCUCUCCCUCGGUUCUGUAAUUCUCUAACACACUCAUCCCACAAAUGGCUACUUCCACCGGCGAGAAUAGCUUGAUCGUUUCCUUCGGCGAGAUGCUCAUCGACUUCGUUCCCACCGUCUCCGGCGUAUCCCUCGCUGAAGCUCCUGGCUUCAUCAAGGCCCCCGGUGGCGCACCUGCCAACGUCGCCAUCGCCGUUUCCCGUCUCGGUGGCCGAGCUGCUUUUGUCGGAAAGCUAGGUGACGAAGAUAUAUAUAUAUAUAUAUAUAUAUAUAAAUUCAAAUCUUAAUAUUUUGCCAAUUUAGAGUUUUUAUCUCAUGAGAGUCAAAAUAGAAGCAAAGAUGUAAUGAAAGAUUGAUUAUUGGAAGAAGAUGGGUUUAUGGUCACGCAAAGUGGAUUAAAAAAUUCAGAUUUGAAUAUUUUGCCAACACUCCCAACUCCCAAGCUGGUUUGAAUCUCACUUUCAGAGUUAUCUUCUUUAACAGAUUGUUAAAGUUUCUCCAAUCUAUGUAGUAAUAAUAUAUAUAGCUUACUCUAUUCGACCAGCAGAAGGAUAUUACAGAGGAUUUUGAUAGCGCUUUAAAACCAUCUCCUGCUUAUAUACAUUUACACCAAACUCAAUGUUGGAACAUAAGAAAAACAAAACAAAACUUUCUUGAAGACAGUUGCAUGCUCUUUUGUUUUUGACAAGAAAAAUGUUUAUUAAGAGAAUCUCAGAGAAUGGGGGAAUAAAGAAGAGACGAUCUAUCUCCUAAAUCAAACCUGAGACAAAUAAAAAAAAAGACUAUACUUGGUUCUGUUGAUGAUCUCUCUGUUCCAGAUCCCUCACAUUGUCUACUAUGUGCUGGAUUCUCUUAGUAAGACUUUCAUUGUGCUGCUCAAUCUGUUCAAAGAGCAUCUCCAGAUGCCUCUUGUAAGUAGCAGCUCUCUUUUUCUCUGCAGCUAGCUGCUGCAUAAGCUCCUGGAUUUUAUCAUGCUCGUUCUGCAAAUGAGAAACAAACAACAUCAGAAUCAAACCAGCACACAUAAACAUACCAAAUAACAACUGAUAAGAGCAACAACUAACCGGAUACUGAUCAUAGAUGCAACCCCUUCGAACCCUUCCAGGCAUCAAAGGAUGGUUAUGCUCCUUGGCAAACUUUGUGAUAACCCAUUUACCAGAAUUUUCUUUUCUAAUCAAGAUCAUUGCUCUACACCCAACCCUUGUCUCCGCUCUCUGUCUAAUAACUUUGUCACGCUUGCUAGGCAACCUGUACCCUUCCUUGUUGCAAACAAGCUGCCUUCCUAUGGGAGAUCCAUCAUGUCUCGACCGUGAGAGUUUGCUAACACGGAUGACGAACCCUACUUUUGUAGCGUAAGCGUUAUAAAACCCAUGUGCUGCUGCUUCAGACUCGAACUCCUGCCCAACAUAAGGCUCAUCACCACCUUGAACCUCCUCCUCGGCCAUAUCAGAAACUGCCAGAGGGAUAGAAUCCAGAUCCACCUUCUCGUCUUGCUCAAGAGGCGUUGCUUGAUUGGAACUUUCACCUAUCUCGUUAUGGUUUUCAUCAUCGUCUUGCUCAAUCAUUGCUUGACCAGAGCUUUCACCCAUUUCAUUAUGGUUCUCGACUGAAAUCGUCAUCAUCAUCCCAUCAGCAUCACCAUUAUCAAUCCUGAAAUCCACUGCAAAUGAAAAACCAUUUGCACAAAGAGAAGCAAUCAACCGGAGGGCAAAAACACGUUUUAACACACAUUAGAUAUCAACAAAAGAACAAGUACAAGUUUUUAUCCUCUUACAAGAAGAAACCUUUAAGACAAAUCUUAACUACAAGUGGUUUUAAAACACGUUUUGACAUGCAUCAGAUAUCUACCAAAGAACAAAGUACAAGUUUUUAUCCUCUUACAAGAAACCUUUAAGACAAAACUUAACUACAAAUGGUUUCAAAACACACAAUUUUGUCAUACAUCAGAUAUCUAUCAAAAAACAAGUACAAGUCUUUAUCUUUUCUUACAAAACAGCCUUCAAGACAAAAGCUUAACUACAAGUGGUUUCAAAACUCUACAGACUCCACGACAAUACAAAAACAAAGUUCCCUUUCUUUAAGGGUAGGCCUAAGCAUGUUUUGAGAUGAAUCUAUUCAAAGAUUCAAGCUUUUAGCAAUGGAGAGUUCAUUAAAUCAUCAGAAAGUAUCGAGCUUUGAGGAACUAAAUAACGGUGAAGGAACAAAUCAAUCUUACUGUCAGAGUUUUUUUCCGGGAGGAUUCGCCGCCGGCGGAAUUAGGUUUUUCGAUGGGGGGAGAGACAGAGAAGGUGCCGGUUCAGGGUAUGGAUUACAAGGGACGCAGUAAACCUAUGACGUGGCGAGAGAUGAUUGGAUCGAUAUUGGGAAGAAGUCAACUCACCGUUCAUCUAAGCCAUGGGGUGGAUCGACUCUAUGGUUUGUACUGUGCGCUUCUCCUCCUCUGAUAACUCCUCGUUAUGCGUUUAGUUUAUUUUUUUUGCCUUUUAAAGAUUUUUACAGCGUAAUUCUCGCCGACCGGCCCACCGGUUCGACCGGUGUGUCCACUAAUUUUGAUACUUUUAGAAAUCGAUCCCUUUAUUAUCCUUAUUCUAUAGAAUCACCCCUGUAUGUAUUAACAUAUCCUUUUAAUUCCUUGCCUUUAAUUUACGUGAUUAAGCUAACUGCAAACAUGAUUAGUGAGCCUGUUCUUGAACUCCACACCCUAACAGAGCUAAUUGAUUAGUAAGGAAAAUGAAAAAUUAAUUAGUUAACAGUUGCAAAAUAUUCAUAUUGUAAAUUUUACCACGAUCGAAACGGUAACUGUAUAAAAUGCAAUUGUAUCUUAAAAAUUAAUAGUACUAUAUUUAACCCCCCUCGAGUGUCCAAUACAAAUUGAUUAAAUACUUAUGUUUCUUUUGGGUCGUAUCCGUUAUUAGCAUUUACCAAAGAUUUAAUUUCCUUUAACGUCUAAGCAUUGAAGGAAAAUCCGUUGAUUACUGGGGAAUAGGCAAUCAAAUAGUUUUAACAGAUCUCACAUAAAUAAAAAAGGAUAAGGAUCAUAUAAGUCAAACCUAAUCCAGUUUCUAAAACUAAUAAAAAUCACACAUUAAUAUUUUAGUAUAAUUAUACAUGAGAUAAUAUCCACUAAAUGUGUAUUAUCGAUAAUGAAAGUUAGUAACAAAUGAAAUAAUCCUUUUAGCAAAAACAAAAAAAAAACAAAUGAAAUAAUCGGAAACAAAAGAGGAUUAUAUGUGUUUAUCCAACAAUCCUUAGGUAAACCUUGCAAAAGAUGUAAAAAGCAAAAAAAUCCGGUCAAAGGACCAAUCAGGCAAUCACUGUUCUCAUAAGAUCUUAUACAUAAUUAGUGAUGAACCAAUCGAAUAUUUCGAAUUUAAUUAGUUACCAAAUACAUUUUCCGAUAUAUCCGAUAAUGACGAUUUAAAAUGUGGAUAAAUCUAAUAGAUUUUAAUUAAAACGUCUAGUGGAUUUGACUAAACAAAGUGAUCCUUAACACUUCUAUAUAAACACUCCUUCGUUCCUUAAUACACCAUCUCAUAUCCAAAACCUAAUCUCUCCCUCGGUUCUGUAAUUCUCUAACACACUCAUCCCACAAAUGGCUACUUCCACCGGCGAGAAUAGCUUGAUCGUUUCCUUCGGCGAGAUGCUCAUCGACUUCGUUCCCACCGUCUCCGGCGUAUCCCUCGCUGAACAAAUGGCUACUUCCAACGGCGAGAAAAGCUUGAUCGUUUCCUUCGGCGAGAUGCUCAUCGACUUCGUCCCCACCGUCUCCGGCGUUUCCCUCGCCGAGGCUCCUGGCUUCAUUAAGGCCCCCGGUGGCGCACCUGCCAACGUCGCCAUCGCCGUUUCCCGUCUCGGCGGUCGCGCUGCUUUUGUCGGAAAGCUAGGUGACGACGAGUUUGGCCACAUGCUCGCCGGAAUCUUGAAACAAAACGGCGUCUCUGCCGAAGGUAUCAACUUCGAUACUGGAGCUAGGACGGCGCUUGCGUUCGUGACGUUAAGAUCCGAUGGUGAACGUGAGUUCAUGUUUUACCGGAACCCUAGCGCCGACAUGCUCCUCCGUCCUGAUGAACUCAAUCUCGAUCUCAUCAAAUCUGUGCGUUACUUUUACAUUUUACUUAACUUUUUGUAUGUAACGGUUGUUGACACACCUAACGUGGAGUUCAAGUUAGGUUACGAAAUGCUCUGUUUUGUUUUAUUGACCUACCUAACGUAAAGGUCAAGUUAGUUUACAAAGUACCCUUUUUUGUAAGUGCUCUGUUUUGUUUUAUUAACAUACAUAACGUCAAGGUCAAGUUUAGGUUGAGAAGUGAUUUGUUUUGUUUUGUUUUGUUACAGGCUAAGGUGUUCCACUAUGGAUCGAUAAGCCUCAUUGUUGAGCCAUGUAGAUCUGCGCACCUGAAAGCCAUGGAGGUGGCUAAAGAAGCUGGUGCGUUGCUCUCGUACGACCCAAACCUGAGGCUGCCAUUGUGGCCCUCGAAGGAGGAGGCUAAGAAACAGAUCCUUAGCAUCUGGGACAAAGCUGAAGUGAUCAAAGUCAGCGACGAAGAGCUUAUGUUCUUGACUGGGUCUGAUAAUGUUGAUGAUGAGACUGCUUUGUCUCUGUGGCAUGAUAACUUGAAACUUCUCUUGGUCACUUUGGGUGAAAAGGGUUGUAACUAUUACACCAAGGUAAUUUUUUUUAUUUUUUUUGGAGUUUUGACUUUACUAUUAAACGUUACUUAAGUUGUUUUCUUUGUGCUUGUGUGAUUAUAGAGUUUCCGUGGAUCUGUUGAUCCUUUCCAUGUGAACGCAGUGGAUACAACUGGUGCCGGUGAUUCAUAUGUUGGUGCCUUGCUUUGCAACUUUGUUGAUGACCGCUCUGUUCUCGAGGUAAACAUAACAUCAGAUUAGUCUUUGGCUAAUUUGGUAUCGUUGCUUCGAUUGUUGACUCUGUUCUUGUGUCUUUAACUACAGGACGAAGCUCGACUUAGAGAAGUGCUUAGGUUUGCGAAUGCAUGUGGAGCCAUUACAACUACCAAGAAAGGAGCUAUUCCAGCUCUUCCUACAGAGUCUGAGGUUCAGAGUCUCCUCAAUGGAAACUGAUCUAGGAGUCUAGGACAUGUCUGGUCUUACGAUUUCACGUUUUUUUUAUUUCCUUUUGUUUUCGUUCAGUGUUCAGAGAACAGUUUGAUUCAUAAAUUAAAACUCUCAAGUUUAGUGAACGAUUAUUUAUUAAGAUCGAGUUUUUAUUUUAAUGAAAAAUAACAAAACAUUCAUGAUGCUAAACACAACAGCUUUCAUUGAACAGAGAUUUAGAAAAAAGAACACCAACGAGCUAACAAGUUCUGGUCCUGCGAAAAAGCUUCAUGAACCACUCAUUCUUGUAAUAAGCCACUAUGUAUCCGAUUGUGAUUCCAAAUACAACUCCAGGUGCAAAUCCUAUCCCUGCUGCCAUCCAACUCAACGAUUCUCCUUCUUCUUCUUCCUCUUCUUGUAAUGACUCCGGCUGUUCAGAUUGUUGUGACGUUGGCUCAACAUGACUUCCACAAACGUCCUUAAGAGAAGAAACAAGAAGUCCAGGAUUCCCCUCGUAGGAUGAGCAAUUCUGUCUCUGAAACUGUGUGCCUUGUGGUAUAGACCCUACAAGCUUAUUAUGUGAAACAUUAAUCCACUCAAGUGAAUAGAGGUUCCCAAGCUCUGGAGGAAUCUCACCAGAGAGCUUGUUUUGGGAUAGGUCCAGUGAUUCCAACACCGUAAGUUUGGCCAAAGAUGAUGGGAUGUGGCCUGUAAAAGCAUUGCUGGACAUAUUCAGGAUACGAAGUUCCUUUAGUAGACCAAUAGAUUCAGGAAUUUGUCCAUGGAGUUGGUUUCCUGAAAAAUCGAUGGCUGUGUAGACUUUGAGGAUACGUUCCAUCUCCAUUGAUACACCUUUAGCCAUCAACACAAUUGAAGCGUAGUAUUGGUGGGGAAGAAAAGCCCCAAUGUAGUCUGGCUCUGUAGAGUUGUUGCCUGUCUUGGAGGAUAUCCCAGUCCAGUUCAGGAAGUAGUCAGACGGUAAGGUGCUGAGGAAGUCAUUAUGUGAUACAUCGAUGAUCUUCAACUGAGGAAAUCCAGACCAAACACCGUCAGAGUGAUGUAACUUGCCAUGAAACUUAUUGGAGCGGAGGACAAGAACUUGUAGCUUCUGCAAAGAACUCAACUGGAAUGGAAAGGUAUCCUUGAAUUUGUUGCUUUCCAAGUUUAGAACUUGCAGAGAAGAGCAAUUGAUGAGAGAUGCAGGAAGCUUUCCUUCCAAUAGGUUGUGACUGAUGUCAAGUGUCUGUAGCUUCUUCGCGUUGAUAAAUAUGUCAGGAAGAGUUCCGUUGAGGCUAUUGUUAUGAAGCUUUAGAUCACUAAGAGAAGUCAUGAGAGUCCCUAAGCACCAAGGAAUUGAGCCGCUGAAGUUGUUGUUUGACAGAUCUAGGAUGUAUAGAGAGGUUGAUCCACAUAUUGAAGAAGGUAACUCUCCGGUGAAGUUAUUCUUAGAAGCAAACAAAUAUUCGAUAGAACUUGAUGGGAUGAAUAGUGGCCCUUGGAAAGCAUUUGAACUUAGAUUCAAGGAUCCGUUGAAACCACUGAAAGAGUUCCUAGAAAGAUCCAGGUAGUCCAACUCUGGUAGCCUCCACAGCCAGUCUGGUACUUGACCUUUCAUUUUGUUGUUGGAAAGGGCUAGAUCAUGUAGAUGUGGAUUGUUUCUAAUGAACUCGGGGAACUCAGUGACUUUGCAUCUUGACAGGUACAAAAAUUCCAAAUUUGAUGAAAAAUCAGAAGUGAUGUUUGUUGUUGAAAGAGGGAUUCCCGAGAGAGAUAAUCCUGAUAGGUGUUUGAGAGGCGGAAAUAUAUUUAAGUCAACAGGGAUGACGUUGACCGAGUAAUUGUUACCGCCAAGAAACAAAUAUUCUAAAUUAGGCAACAAAGAAGAGAUAUUCUCAAUGCCAAGGAGGUCACUGAAAUGAUUUAUAUCCAAAUCGAUGUGAGCCAGUGAGGAAAUCUUGAAUAGGGAUGCAGGAAUGGUUCCAACAAAAGAGUUUCCGCGCACAGAAAAAAAAUGUAAUCUGGAGAGUUGGCUUAUAUUAGGUGGAAGGGAACCUGAAAAUUGGUUAUAAGAGAGAUCGAGAGUACGUAGCUGGGUCAAAUUGAGUAGUGCAGAUGGAAAGUUCCCGCUGAGUUUGUUACUAAAGACAUGAAAAGAUAUCAACUGUUUUAGAUUGCCAAUUGAAGAAGGAAUUUCACCAAUGAAAUUAUUGUAACCAAGUCGGAGAAAAGAGAGAUGAGAAAGGUUUCCAAGUGAAGAUGGAAUGGUACCUGAAAAGGAUGUCUGUGCAAUGCUUAUCCUUUGCAGAGACUUAUUUACAUGAAAAUCAGGAAGUUGACCUCUAAGUUUGGGAUUGUCAUUGAGGUUAAUGAGAUGUAAGCUGGGUAUGAGAAAAACAUUGCUCGGAAAUAUUCCCAGUAGGUUGCACUUCUCAAGAAUAAGCCAUCUCAGAGACGACAUGUUUGAAAACUCUUUUGGGAUUUCUGAAGAGAUGUUCACAUAGCUCAUAUCUAGUUCUCUAAGGUUCCUCAAGUUUAGAGCAAGAAGACGGAGAAAUGAUGGUUCCACAAUCGAUAAAUUACUUGGUGUAUAAUAAGAAGAAGAAGAAGAGAGAUCAAGAGACACCAAAUUGGUUAGUUGAACAAUUUCUGUUGGAAUCUGACCGGAAAAUGAAGACUCGGAGAGGUUAAGCCUCUCCAAGCCCAUGAGUUUGUUGAACUUAGCUGGGAUUGUGGAAUCAAGGAAGCUGUUAUAAGCAAGGUUAAGACUCCGGAGAUGCUGCAGUCUAAAAAGACUACUGUUUGGUUUGAGCCGGCCAUGAAGACAGCUGCAGCUAAGGUCUAGCCCGAUCACCUUGUCCGACUUGGUAUCGCACAUUACACCAUGCCAGUUGCAAUAGUCGCUCUUGUUUGCCCAUGAUUUCGUCUUCGGAUCAAGAAACUCACACGACUUUUGAAUCUUAAACUCGUUCUUGAACUCCAGAAGAAUAUCACUUUGGUCAGGAGAAGAAGCAAAAGUGCUCAAAAUUCUUGAAAUUGAAUAGAGAAGAACAAUGGUACGAAGAAAGAUGCUCAUCAUUGAUGAGUUUGAGCUUGUCAUGAUUUGUUUCUACUUUUGCCACCAGCUGAGUGGAUGUAUUUAAAAUGUUUCUCAAAAGCUCCGAGAAAAUAUUCAAUUCAAACUUUCAUUACUUUUGUUUCUUUCAGACCAACCGAACUUUUGAUUCACACUAGAAAGAACUAUUUAUAAUGCAUAGGUGUAAGGAAAAUAGGUGAAAACACAUUUUUAAGACAAAAAAAAGUUUAAAUAGUUUAACUUGAAGGAGUUAAAAUUAAAUUAAUUAUGUCUCGAAACCUAAGAAGUUUUAAAAUUAAAAUAAUAUACAUCUAAACUAUUAAAACAUGAGAAGAAAUAGUAUUUAGUCCUAAGUUUUUCUCAAUAAUUACAAUAGAAUGUCACUGUGAUCAAAACACAGUAGUUUUACGCUUUUGCUAACCCAAAAUUUUUGUAAACUACAGAAACGUUAACUCGUCUCGUUUGGUACACAAUCUUAUUAAUUAAAUUAUACCAGCAGGUACCAUAUACUAUUCGAAACCAAUACUCAAGAUUUAAUAGUUGAUCAACAAACAUACCUUAUAUUAUUCCAAUCCUGUACUCCAUUAAAUCUAUGGUUUAAAAUAGUUUUUUUUUCUAUAAGCUAACCCAUUAGAAACAAAACCAAACGAUUCAUCACGAUUUCUUAAUCAUAAUCUAAUCAAUAUUAAGUUUCUGGUUUUAUAUUUUGGCCAAUUUAUAUUCUGUCUAUAUUUGUUUAAAUUAUGCAUACCAACAUUUUGUAUAUAGGUCUAAUCAAGGUUUGGUUUAGCUAAUUUAUGGUUUUGUGAAUUUUUCGUUUUUUCUGACUACAAAAUCGAAACUAAAUAUGAUAUUUUCCUAAUAUAUAGCUUAGCUAAUUUAUAGUUUAACAAAUUUAUUAUUUGAGAAAAAGACUAGGAUAGCAUCAAACCAAGUUUUUGUUCCAAACUAGCACUCAAAGCUCAAAGUCACAAAUUUAAAUUUCAUUAAAGAGGUAAAUAUACAAUUAUACUCCUUAGGUUAAUUAAUUCAAACCUUAGGGUUUAGAGUUAAGACGUUUUGGAAUUAGAGUUUAAAAUUUUAUAAAAUAAAAAAUAAAUACUAAAAAUUUAAAAAUAAAAAUUUUAAAAACAGUUUCAAAAAGUAUUUUUGAAUUAUAAAAAGAAAUUUGAAAAUUUUUUUUUUUAAAAAAAGCGAAAAAAAAAUUUCAAAAAAACUUAUAAAAAAUUUCGUAUAUGAAAACAUAUAAUCUGAAACUAUAAAAAAAAUUAUUUUUUCAUUUUUUAUUUUUAUUUUAUUUAUUUUUAUUUAUUUUUGUUUGUUUAUUUAAUUUUAAACCAAAGGUAUUAGGGAUAUUUUACCCUUUAAUAAAUGUCAUUUUUGUGAUUUUCUCCUUCUAAUGCCAUUUUUGAGACAAAAACUCAAAAGGUGCUAUUAUUGAUAAUUGCCCUUAUUAUUUGGCAUAUUUUUGAUUGUUUUGUGUUCAAAAUCUAAACUAAAUAUGCUAUUUUCCUUACACAACUCACUACCAGUUAAAAAUGAUCCCUAAUUCCACACAAUCGCUAUUAACCGCAUUAGAUCAUAACUAAAUAUUUGUUUCUUCGGAAAUAAAACAAAAUCCCAACUGUUUUUCUAUUUUUACGUAAUCAUCAUAUCAUAAAAAGAUAUCUAUUAAAUAACAAGAUCAUCAUCUAUUCUAUUAAAACUGAAGUACAUAAUAAUACUUGACUAUUUUAAAGUGGAUUUUUUAAGAUUUGUUUUGUUUUUUUGACUAAUUAUAGUCAGUUCAUUUGUUGUUUUCAUUUAAGUGUUUUAUUAUAUUUUUUACAUUUUGAUUUCACUCUUUCAAACUACUUCAUUAAUUGCAAUUACCAUAAUAAUUCGAUGUCAUUUAUUUUACAUAUUAACCAUAAUAAUUUUACGUGUUUAAAUGAAUUUUUUCUAUUAGUAACAAAAAUUCUCUAAAGCUGACACGUAAGUAUUCUAAAGUUGCCAAUAGUCGCUCUUGUUUGCCCAUGAUUUCGUCUUCGGAUCAAGAAACUCACACGACUUUUGAAUCUUAAACUCGUUCUUGAACUCCAGAAGAAUAUCACUUUGGUCAGGAGAAGAAGCAAAAGUGCUCAAAAUUCUUGAAAUUGAAUAGAGAAGAACAAUGGUACGAAGAAAGAUGCUCAUCAUUGAUGAGUUUGAGCUUGUCAUGAUUUGUUUCUACUUUUGCUACCAGCUGAGUGGAUGUAUUUAAAAUGUUUCUCAAAAGCUCCGAGAAAAUAUUCAAUUCAAACUUUCAUUACUUUUGUUUCUUUCAGACCAACCGAACUUUUGAUUCACACUAGAAAGAACUAUUUAUAAUGCAUAGGUGUAAGGAAAAUAGGUGAAAACACAUUUUUAAGACAAAAAAAAGUUUAAAUAGUUUAACUUGAAGGAGUUAAAAUUAAAUUAAUUAUGUCUCGAAACCUAAGAAGUUUUAAAAUUAAAAUAAUAUACAUCUAAACUAUUAAAACAUGAGAAGAAAUAGUAUUUAGUCCUAAGUUUUUCUCAAUAAUUACAAUAGAAUGUCACUGUGAUCAAAACACAGUAGUUUUACGCUUUUGCUAACCCAAAAUUUUUGUAAACUACAGAAACGUUAACUCGUCUCGUUUGGUACACAAUCUUAUUAAUUAAAUUAUACCAGCAGGUACCAUAUACUAUUCGAAACCAAUACUCAAGAUUUAAUAGUUGAUCAACAAACAUACCUUAUAUUAUUCCAAUCCUGUACUCCAUUAAAUCUAUGGUUUAAAAUAGUUUUUUUUUCUAUAAGCUAACCCAUUAGAAACAAAACCAAACGAUUCAUCACGAUUUCUUAAUCAUAAUCUAAUCAAUAUUAAGUUUCUGGUUUUAUAUUUUGGCCAAUUUAUAUUCUGUCUAUAUUUGUUUAAAUUAUGCAUACCAACAUUUUGUAUAUAGGUCUAAUCAAGGUUUGGUUUAGCUAAUUUAUGGUUUUGUGAAUUUUUCGUUUUUUCUGACUACAAAAUCGAAACUAAAUAUGAUAUUUUCCUAAUAUAUAGCUUAGCUAAUUUAUAGUUUAACAAAUUUAUUAUUUGAGAAAAAGACUAGGAUAGCAUCAAACCAAGUUUUUGUUCCAAACUAGCACUCAAAGCUCAAAGUCACAAAUUUAAAUUUCAUUAAAGAGGUAAAUAUACAAUUAUACUCCUUAGGUUAAUUAAUUCAAACCUUAGGGUUUAGAGUUAAGACGUUUUGGAAUUAGAGUUUAAAAUUUUAUAAAAUAAAAAAUAAAUACUAAAAAUUUAAAAAUAAAAAUUUUAAAAACAGUUUCAAAAAGUAUUUUUGAAUUAUAAAAAGAAAUUUGAAAAUUUUUUUUUUUAAAAAAAGCGAAAAAAAAAUUUCAAAAAAACUUAUAAAAAAUUUCGUAUAUGAAAACAUAUAAUCUGAAACUAUAAAAAAAAUUAUUUUUUCAUUUUUUAUUUUUAUUUUAUUUAUUUUUAUUUAUUUUUGUUUGUUUAUUUAAUUUUAAACCAAAGGUAUUAGGGAUAUUUUACCCUUUAAUAAAUGUCAUUUUUGUGAUUUUCUCCUUCUAAUGCCAUUUUUGAGACAAAAACUCAAAAGGUGCUAUUAUUGAUAAUUGCCCUUAUUAUUUGGCAUAUUUUUGAUUGUUUUGUGUUCAAAAUCUAAACUAAAUAUGCUAUUUUCCUUACACAACUCACUACCAGUUAAAAAUGAUCCCUAAUUCCACACAAUCGCUAUUAACCGCAUUAGAUCAUAACUAAAUAUUUGUUUCUUCGGAAAUAAAACAAAAUCCCAACUGUUUUUCUAUUUUUACGUAAUCAUCAUAUCAUAAAAAGAUAUCUAUUAAAUAACAAGAUCAUCAUCUAUUCUAUUAAAACUGAAGUACAUAAUAAUACUUGACUAUUUUAAAGUGGAUUUUUUAAGAUUUGUUUUGUUUUUUUGACUAAUUAUAGUCAGUUCAUUUGUUGUUUUCAUUUAAGUGUUUUAUUAUAUUUUUUACAUUUUGAUUUCACUCUUUCAAACUACUUCAUUAAUUGCAAUUACCAUAAUAAUUCGAUGUCAUUUAUUUUACAUAUUAACCAUAAUAAUUUUACGUGUUUAAAUGAAUUUUUUCUAUUAGUAACAAAAAUUCUCUAAAGCUGACACGUAAGUAUUCUAAAGUUGAAAUGACUGUGAAGAUGAUACUUGUUAAUGUGUGUAUGAACAAAUUUAUUGAAAUGCUUUUUUUAAUUUAUAGGGGAUACUUCAUUAUGAACAUAUUUAUAUUUCCUUUCUUACUGUGAAAAUCCUUAUAGUCACAACUCCUAAUGGUGACUUUUCACAAUAUUACGGCAGUAACCGUCACCUAAACCAUACAUGAUAUAUGCGUGCGCAUCUAUACUAUACUAAAAGGCAAAUAUAAGCCAUGGAGAGGGUGUCCACAUAGGAUAGAAAAAUCAACCAAUCAGAGAGCCCGAAAUUGCCACGUCAUCUCAUUUAUUUUUUCGUAAAAAAUGAAAAAAAAUACGAAGGAAAUGAUCGAACCCGGGUUAUUAUGACUUUAAUAUAGGGCAGUUACAACUAAGCUAUUGAAAUUUUCUUGAACACAUAUACAAGAAUCACUAAGUAUGUAAUCACAAACUCUUAUAUACAAUUACAAUAAUAUGAAUUUAACUUUCAAGACUCCGAUACUUUGUUUUGUAAAAAAAAAAUAAGUAAGUGACUAAGCUAAUAUAUUCUUUGAAAGUGUGAGAACAUUGACAAAUAUGAAAAANNNNNNNNNNNNNNNNNNNNNNNNNNNNNNNNNNNNNNNNNNNNNNNNNNNNNNNNNNNNNNNNNNNNNNNNNNNNNNNNNNNNNNNNNNNNNNNNNNNNNNNNNNNNNNNNNNNNNNNNNNNNNNNNNNNNNNNNNNNNNNNNNNNNNNNNNNNNNNNNNNNNNNNNNNNNNNNNNNNNNNNNNNNNNNNNNNNNNNNNNNNNNNNNNNNNNNNNNNNNNNNNNNNNNNNNNNNNNNNNNNNNNNNNNNNNNNNNNNNNNNNNNNNNNNNNNNNNNNNNNNNNNNNNNNNNNNNNNNNNNNNNNNNNNNNNNNNNNNNNNNNNNNNNNNNNNNNNNNNNNNNNNNNNNNNNNNNNNNNNNNNNNNNNNNNNNNNNNNNNNNNNNNNNNNNNNNNNNNNNNNNNNNNNNNNNNNNNNNNNNNNNNNNNNNNNNNNNNNNNNNNNNNNNNNNNNNNNNNNNNNNNNNNNNNNNNNNNNNNNNNNNNNNNNNNNNNNNNNNNNNNNNNNNNNNNNNNNNNNNNNNNNNNNNNNNNNNNNNNNNNNNNNNNNNNNNNNNNNNNNNNNNNNNNNNNNNNNNNNNNNNNNNNNNNNNNNNNNNNNNNNNNNNNNNNNNNNNNNNNNNNNNNNNNNNNNNNNNNNNNNNNNNNNNNNNNNNNNNNNNNNNNNNNNNNNNNNNNNNNNNNNNNNNNNNNNNNNNNNNNNNNNNNNNNNNNNNNNNNNNNNNNNNNNNNNNNNNNNNNNNNNNNNNNNNNNNNNNNNNNNNNNNNNNNNNNNNNNNNNNNNNNNNNNNNNNNNNNNNNNNNNNNNNNNNNNNNNNNNNNNNNNNNNNNNNNNNNNNNNNUAUAGAGGAAUGCAUCUAGAUCUUAUUUUUCAGCAAUGUGCCCUUGAACCAGAAUCUAUUGAUCAUUGUUUACAUGUUUAGAAUUGUGGGGAUAUGGAGACUAUCAAAACUCCCUUAUCAUUAUUUGUUAAACACAAAUUAUAGUGUUGACGAAAAAUAUAUACUUUGGCCAAUUUAUACGGACAAACAUCAAUUACUACUCAUCAACAACACUUACCGUUUUGGAAUGUUAUGGCGGAUAUGGAAAUCACACAAAUUCUUGUUAUUCAGGAAGCAGAAAUUUUAUUUUCAUGAAACAGUGGAUUAUGCAAUGGCUGACGUUGAAGAAUGGAUGGCAUAUAUGAGCUCAAAUCACCAUAACAAUACCCAUUGGCAACUAUCACAAAAGACCUGAUGGACCAUACCCAUUACCGGUCUGCUCAAAUGCAAUUAUGAAGCUGCCUUCGGUCUCCAUACGGGUAACCGUUAUUGGUGGCUGGAUCGUCAGGGAUUGUCAAGGCUUAACAAAAAUGUGGGGAUCAGGUUGUGCAGGUAAUUAACGCUGGACCGAGUUUUGAAGUAGAUGGUUAUAGCAAUACAAAAUGUUUGGAGUGCAAGAUUAUCUCAAAUCGUUGUCGAAGGAGAUUCAAAAGUUUUGAUUAAUACCUUAAAUGGUACACAUGAAAAUGUUGUUGGGCCUAAUAUUAUAGCCUAAUGGCUAAAUUAAUAAAAGGCAAAAUGUGAAUACAAAUGGGCCUACGGGUCACAUGGCAAAAGCCUGGUUGACUUUAGUGAAUGAAACUUAACAACAUCCCACAUCGGGGAAGUAGAGAGGAGAUGAGCAAUAUAUAUAUGCUCAUGUGUUAUGAGUGGUUAAACGGCUCAAGGAGAGAGAAAAUCUCUCCACGCGCGAACCUCCGCCGUCUGACCGGUUCAACUGGACAGAGGGUCUCUGGCCCAAUAAAAAAUUUUUUGGACCAAGUUAAGCUCAAUGUUUUGCCAUUCAAUUCGGAAAAAAACAACAUGCAAUUUUAUUUAAAAUGACAAGUAGUUGGUCUAGAAAAUAAAAACGUCAUGCAUUUUAUCCUCUCGAAAUUUUUAAACGAGACGAGAGAGAGUUGGGAAUAAGUUUUCGAAACUCAACUUCCCGUGAUCUCCGCGAGAUUUUCGCCCACGUGCAGCAACUGUUGCGGGAGGUGGCUCUCUUUCUUCUCUUUAAAUAUCACCUCUCCUCUUCAUUCAUUGAUGAGGUUUUUCACAUCGAAACCAACAGCAAAAUUCCCUUACCGUAAGUCAUAAAAUCCGAGAGUGUUUCGUAGAGUAUUUAGUUCGUUAGGGCGUUCACGAGUGAAGCGUGAAUCCUCUGCCAUGGUUGUAUCCUGGGACUCGAUAUUCGUACAGUUUCGUCUCACUAACGGAUCGAAUAUUUAGGGUUAAGGAAAGAGAUUAUAUCUCGAUUCCAUGUUCGUUCGUGAAUACGAUCUCUUAUCAUUUUUUUUUUCUCUUUUACAAUCGUCAAUUUCCUCAACAUAUCGCUUUUAUUAUAUCGUUUUUGUCAGUCCGGUUAUCCGGCUUCUACAAUCUUAACUCUAAAUUCGCUUUCUAUUUAAAGCGUUUGAUCGGAUUGAAAAACGGUUUAACAAGGAUUUGUUAACGGUUUUUAGAACGAUGUUUGCGAUUUGCUCUGUAGCAUUUUCUAUAGGGCAAUUGUCAAUAAUAGCACAUUUUGAAGUUUAUGUCUCAAAAAUAGCACUAGAAGGAGAAAGUCACAAAAAUGACAUUCAUUAAAGAGUAAAAUAUUCAUAAUACCCUUGGUUUAAAAUUAAAUAAACAAAUAAAAAUAAAAAUAAAUAAAUAAAAUAAAAAUAAAAAAAAGAAUUUUUUUUUAUAAUUUCAGAUUAUAUGUUUUCAGAUUCGAAAUUUUAUAAUUUUUUUUUUGAAAUUUUUUUUCUUAAAAUUUUUUUUAUUUUUUUUCAAAUUUUCUUUUUAUAAUUAAAAAUACUUUUUGAAACUGUUUUUAAAAUUUUUAUUUUUUAUUUUAGUAUUUAUUUCUUAUAAAAUUUUAAAUCAUAAUUUCAAAACUCCACCUCUUAAUUCUAAACCCUAAGGUUUGGAUUAAUUAAUCCAAGGGGUAUAAGUGUAUAUUUAUCUCUUUAAUGAAAUCUAUUUUUGUGAUUUUGAACCUUGAAUGCUAUUUUGGGAACAAAAACUUGGUUUGAUGCUAUCCUAGUAUUUUUCUCUUUAGUUAAUUAUAUUUUCAAGCAACUCAUUUCCGUUAUGUUCUCUUAGUGAUACGUAAACACAUAGCCAUCAUGUUUCAUGAAAGUCUUUUUAGUUAGAAAAGGCCAGUGGCUUUAAUCCAUAAAAUCAAACACUCAGUUCCUUAUUCAACAACCUCUUUUUUCUUUUUUACAUUCCAUCCCAUAUUCUCUCUUUUCCACAUAAUUAUUCAAUACUUUUUUUAAUCAAUACAAUAGUUUUACUUAAUAAAAUUUAACAUUAUAUCAUAUAUUUUAAUUCAUAUUCUUGUUUUAUAUAAUCUGACAAAUAUGUAUCAAUAGCAUUUUCUAUUUUAAUUUUGAAGAAAAACUAGAAGUAUUUUGAAUAUUAAAAAAAAUUAUUAUUAGGAUAUAUUUAACAAAAAAUAACAUUUUUAUUUUAUAUCCAAAUAAAAUGAGACUAGUCUUUAUUUAUACAUCAUAAAAAUGCUGCAUUUUGGUAUAAUUUUUUUUAAAAAAAAAUAAGUUUACUAUAAAAUAAUUAUAUUUGAAUAAUUUGGAAGAAUAAAAAAAGUACAGAAAUAUCAGUAACCAAUAAGAAUACAAAAGAGACAAUGUAGGCCCAUUCAAUUAUUUUUCAACCGGUUGAAAACUUUCAACAGGUAAAUAAUCCACUUGGAUUCUCACAUUUUUUAACAGCUCAAUUGCUUCAAUUAAAUAGUUGAAUUUUCAAUUCAACAAGCUAAUUGCUCAUGGUCUUAGAAAAUUUCUCACUUACGUACGAGCAAAAUGAUGUACGGGUCAAUUUUAUAUAUUAAUCAAAAGAUGUGUCUUAACCAACACAACUCUUCCACACAACACUUCACUAUUUUAACAGCACAAGUGCAUUAUACUGUAUCAUCAUAUGUAUAUUAAAUCUUAUAGUAAUAUAUUCUAUUAUUAUUACUAUAAUAAAGAGAUUAAGGACCUUAACAAAUAUAAGGUAAAGUAGGAAAGUUAUCAAUAUAUCUGAAUUCUAAUUCAUUAAUCAAAAUUGAUCCAUCACGGUAUCGUCUUUUAUAUUUUAUAUUAGAAUCUAAAAACAUUAACGUAAACUUGAACUUUAUAUUAGACUAAUAGACAUAUAGGUCAUAUAGAAUAAAAAAUAUUCUUAUACCCACAUCCCAUUCUCAGCGGCUAAACACCAACCGAAAACACGGUAGAGAGAGUUGGCAACGCGUUUGGCGAUGCCGUGGAGUAGCUUACAGCUUCGGGCUCAAGUACUCCUCCCUUCGUUGCACUCUUCACACUGAGACAAAUUACAAUACAAAAUUAUAUAACAAUAUAUAUUUGCGAUAAUAUAUGAACAAAAGAGCCGUGUCGGACCACACAUGGGCACCAGGUGAAAAAUGAAAAAGUCGCCUUGUCUCAUCAUUUCGCAAAUUGACAAAACUCACGGUGCAUGACAAACGCGUUUCAUGAUUUUUAUACGGAGAUUUGACCUCACCUUUCUUCAAAAUGUUACAAAACAAAAAGUGAAUUAUUUCUCUCCAACAUUCAAAAAAAGUAUUGGAAUAUUUCAUGUGAUAAAAAAACCAAAACCGAAACUCUUCAAACAUAAUCUGAACCGAACUUUUUAUUUUUUUUUAAAUUGAUUUGAACGAUCAUUGGAGGAAAACCUUUUAUUUAGCAAAAAAUAUCAAUUUGUUUUCAAAUAUUCUUUUUUUUAUAUUAAAUUUUAUAUUUAUUAAUCACAGAAUAAACGAGCAUUACAAAUGAGAAGAGAGUAAGCUAAACUCUAAAAUAAAGUUUCUUUUGGAGUCAUUUUAAAAACCUCCAGCUCCUAUUGACGAACAUAUAUUUCCACCCGUUGACGGAACAGUCCUUCCAACUUGUGAUUCCCAGUGUACUUCAGCGAAGAGAUCCUAUUGCGGAUUGCUUUAUUAACCUGCCUAGUGAACGCUUCUUGUAGUUACCCAAGGACCCAAAUGUCUACAAGAGUUGUGCUCUUUCCAAAUAAAGUAAACGGUUGUAUGGAAAACCAGUCGUAAAAGGAUAGCAUCCAUCUUGUUUCUAUUACGCUGUAGCAGAGAUGUCGCUGUAAUUGUCCAAUCCGGUGAUGCAGUAGUGUCCAGUAGAAUAGCAGUUAGAGUAGUCCAGACAGUGAAUGUGAAGGGGCAUGCAAAAAACAGAUGAUCCAUGCUUUCUUCACGCUCUCCACAAAACAUAGAGCCUUGUGUGAUCCCCCAUUGCCGCAUACGGACUCCUAUGGAGAGUCUAUCCUUAAAUGUCAACCAAACAAUGAAAGCAUGGCGUGGUACUCCUUGUGUAAACCAAACGAGAUGGUGCCAAGGUACUUCAGGCCCCCGAUCUCUAAUCUGAUCCCAAGUUCUCACUGUUGAGAAGUGGUCCUUGUAGUCCUCCUCAUCGUGCCUCCAUAAAAUAACAUCGCUUUCUUCCUAGCCUCUGGCUUCUGCACAUUCUCAGAAUCUCAAUAGCGGUAUACACAUCACCAAAUACUCUCCGACCUCGACUCCGCAUUCCCCAGACCUCAUUUGGACACACUUCAGAAACACGAGCUUGACGAGGUAUGCCUAGAUACCGCAAACCCAAAUCUCAUGUUAUGUUGAUAAUACUUCGAGUGCCUAACCAAUUGUCGAACAAGAAAAAAGUUGAACCACCACUUUUAACUUCACUGCGCAUAAACCUUGCUGCCUCCAGUCUGAGCUUAAGUAAUUUGCGCAAGAACCAUGAACCCAUAUUAGUAACUUUUGCGUCCCAAAACAACCAUAGCUUUUUGUACUAAUUAUAUUAAAUGUAGUGUAAUAUAAUACUUUAAACUUAAUUUUGAUGAUGAGACUGCUUUGUCUCUGUGGCAUGAUAACUUUAAACUUCUCUUAGUCACUUUGGGCGAAAAGGGUUGUAAAUAUUACACCAAGAUUAAUGGUUCUUGAAGAGUUAUCUUUCUUGCGGAGUUGACUUAACUAAUAGUGUGACUUUGAUUGUGUUCUUGCGCUUGUAUGAUUCUGUUGAUCCUUUCCAUGUCAAGGCAGUGGAUACAACUGGUGCUGGUGAUUCAUAUGUUGGUGCCGUGCUUUGCAACAUUGUUGACGACCGCACUGUUCUCAAGGUAAACAUAACAUCAGAUUAGUCUUUGGUGAAUUUGGAAUCGUUGCUGGGCGUGUUGUUCUGUCUUUAACUACAGGACGAAGCUCGUCUUAGAGAGGUGCUUAGGUUUGCUAAUGCAUGUGGAGCCAUUACGACUACCAAAAAAGGAGCUAUUCCAGCUCUUCCUACAGAGUCAGAGGUUCAGAGUCUCUUGAAUGGAAACUGAUCAAAGACAUGUCUGGUUUUAGGAUAUUUUUUAUUCCACUUUCUUCAAGUGUUGUUUUAAGGGUUUUACUUUAAUGAAUAAGAGAAGUCAUUACCAAAGCUAGAGAAGGAUUGUUUUGAAGUAGAGAAAGCGUUAAAGAACAAUAGCUUGAGGAUAACAUUCAGAAACUUGCAAAUCCAAUGAUCUCCAAAUGUGUUUGCAUUCUUCCCACCUUGAACUCAUCCUCUCCAUAAAUGCUUCAGCCCACACUUCCUUGCUACCUCCCAUACUCAGUUCACAUGGCACCGAAAAACUGCAAAGUCAAUUUCAGUUAGUUUCACAGAUGCAUUGUUGUUUAGGCAGCAAAGUAAGCAUCUUGGUUUUGAAAAAAUUUACCUUGUUAGCUCUUCUAAAAGAGAGUCUUUCUCGGUGGUACCUUUCCUGGAAGAUAGUUGUGUUAGGCAUCACAACAAUGAUUAAAAAGCUGGAGUUACAAGUAUAAAAUAGCCUUAACCUUUGUACUAGAACUUUGAAGAUGCGGAGAGACUUGGUUGAGAGGUUGUAGAUUGCUUCUUCUAUGUGAUCUGUGCCGAAUAAAUACACAACCGGGUAGUCCAGGAGCCACCUGCUUAUACAGAUCAAAGCUUAAUAAACUAAGAUGACAUAUGGUGAAAUGAAUCAAAGAGUUGGAUUUGAAAAAAAUUUACCCGUUUAGUGUUGGGAUUGUAACCUUAGUGUCUUGUAAACAACAACUAAGAUCAAUGAACAAAGAAGACUUGGCAUCAUUAUUGCUGCCAUCUAAAGGAAAUGUGGAAGAGAAUAGCUUCUGAAUCGACCUAAGCUGCAUCCCUAGAUUGCUUUCCUUGCUUUGUUCCACCAUCUUUAACAAACAAAAAGCAAGAAUGAGAUCAAAUCCAAUUGGAGAAAUAGAGCAUGAGAAGAGACACCACUGAAACAAAGACAAUGAACAACCUGUGGAGGAUCUUGUUCCAGGUCGACGAAGAACAAUUCAGGUUCUGAACUCAACCACUUGGGCAGUCUUCUUACAUUGAUCAGGUAAAUCAUAUCCUCUAUAACCAUAACUCUCAGAUCUUUGAAAACUGGUAAAACCUAGAGGACACAAGCAGCAUGAACAAAGAGUCAGCUACAUACAUACAGACACACUCAAGUACUAAUGUCCUUGAAGAAAAAAGAGGUAGAGACUAACCUCUUGGAUAAGCUCGAGAAGGGAAAGCAAGCGAUCUUGUAGCUCAGGCAACUUGCCUCCAUAGUCAAUCAUCACAACUGGUCUCAUCCCCGUGCAUAGUGCCAGCACAUCUACAAAUUCAAUCAUAUGGGAAACUGAAUGAUUAUUUGAUGGUAAUUGCUAAAGUUACAAACUUUCUAUGGAAAAUGAUAAACCCACCAAACAAGGCAAUCAACAAGCUUCGAUAGGAUUUUACACACAAUAAACUCGAAAGAAUCAAAAUUUUAACAAAGAAGAAGGAAACCUAUUUCGAGACGGCGUUUAGAAUUGGGCUUAAGUCGCCAUUUGAUCUGAGAGAGACAAGAGCUCAUACACUCAAGUAUCUCCUCACAGCUUGGAGCCUCCAUCUCGCACAAAAAGACUCCAACUUUCUCGGAAACAAAUGCUGGGAUGGGACAAAGGGGGUCAAAAAAAUCUGAAAAAGGACCUUCUCUAUUUUUAAUUAAAAAUGAAUUAAAAAUAAAUAGAAAUUAUGAAGAAAAGACUGUAAAAUCUAAGGAUUUAGAUAUAUUUACUAACUUAUACCAUUACUAUCCUAUUUAGAUCCGACCCAGAUCCAGACCCAGACCCAGACCCAAAAACCUAUCUAACUUUAACCCUAAUCUUCUUCUUCUUUCUUCUCUUUUCUUCUCCAUUAAUAUUUUUUCAUCUUGAAGCAAGAACAAAAAAAUUCUUCAACCAUCCACCAAAUGUUUAUUUCUUAUCCCAAAUCGAUCAACCCAGAAUCAUAUUUAAUCAAUUUUAUCUUAUCUAGAAGCAAAUUCCAUGUUAUACGUACGAGAUUCAAAAUAUAAAAAAGACGCAGAGUAUUACUAAUACAACUAGUACAACUCCAACUAAUACAACUAGUACAGCUCAAAUUAAUAUAACUAGUAUUACUAGCACGAGUAUAACUAGUAUAAAUAGAUUGAGUAUAACCUUUAUAAUUGAUACAACUUUGCAAUUAAUAUGGUGAUUUUUAAUUUUUUUGUUUCGGAGUAUGAAGAUGACAGAAACGAGGAUCAUGUAUAACCAAUAAGAUAUGUUCGUCUAAUCUUCCCCGACAUGUAUGUAUCAAAUACAUGAAUAUGUUAUUUUAAUAGUAUUUUAUUUGGAUAGUGAUUUCUUUAUAAGAUGUAUAAUUUUCUUUAUUGAUUGUUUCCAGCAUAUGAAAAUGCUAGAAAGGAGAAUGAUAUAGAACCAAUAAGACAUAUUGGUCUAAUCUCUUCUGCUUGCAUGUGACAAAUAUAUGAAUAGUAUAUUUUAAAUAAUAUUUGAUUUGAAAUUGUUACGUUUAUAAGUUACACUAGUUAUACUAGUUGUACGAUUUUCGGAAAAAAUCAUCUUCAUCUUUUUAGUCUCGAGGCACAAAAGCUAGAUGCGGAGCCAGAAAAUUCUUCAACCAUACCGGACAGAAGAAACAGAUUGGGUUUGAUGUAUGAUUUUUUUUUUGCAAGUAAUUGUUUUAAUCGUGAUGUAUUAAUACAAUUGUUAUCAACAAUUGUAAAAUUUUAGUUUGUUUAUCAAGAUAAUAAUAGCUAUUAGAAGAAAACAGAAUUGCAACAAAUAAUACAAAUAAUCAGUAAAAGUAUUAAUUAAGAAUUAAUUACCAAAAUAAAUCAUUUUAAUCAAUUUUUUUAAAAAAAAAUUACAUUUAAUUAGUAAAUGAUAUAAAUCAGAAAUUCUAAAUGAUACAUAUUUUUGACUAACUUCUUAAAAUUGAUACUAAUUUUGUGUAAAAUGAAAUGAUGCAAAUAAUUUAUAUAUUUACAUCAAUUAUUAAAUAAAUUGAUGUAAAUUAUUUGCAUCACCAAUUAUUUUAGUACAACCGAUACAACUAAAGCAACAUACUAACAUGUAGUUCAACCACAGUGUUUAAAACAUGAUACACAUUUAAAACUUGAUGCACAAUACAAGAUGAAAUAACAUAGUUGUACUAGUAUUUGAGUUGUACCGGUUUGUACAUAGUUGUACUAGUUUUUGAGUUGUACCGGUUUGUACAUAGUUGUAUUUUGGCAUUGAAAUCGAAAAAAACUAGUUGUACCACAUAAAAUUUAAACUUACCUCAGUUGUACCACUUCUUUAUGUGUACAUGUCUCUGCCCCAAUAAAAUGAAAUCAUCAAUUUUGUUAAAAUACAUUUUAUGUAUGUUUUCCAAAAAUUAUGUGGACAAAGAAGUUAACAAACCUUAAAAGUAUAAGGUAGAUCAUGCAAACUCAUGAGAUGAUGUGAAAACUGCAAAAAAAAAAAACAAAAAAUUAUCACAAAUAAAAGGAACCUAUCUAAAUCCUUACCAAUUUGGCCAGCUAAUUGUUUUUUUCAUAUGGAAUAUCGAAUGGAAUAUUUCAAUUUCAGAAUCUGAAUAGUUGUACUAGUUAUAUCAGUAUCACUAGUCUGGUAAAUAAGACAUAGUUGGACUAGUUAUACUAGUAUCACCUGUAUUGUUUGAUACAUAUGCAAAAGUUUUAUCAGUUGUACCAUAGCUAAAAACGAUUUAUUCUAUAAUAUCAUGCUUCAUACUUUAACAACAUUAUAUUAAAUCUUAGAAUCUUACUCAUAACGUUAAUAUACAUAUUAUGUGACUAAACUGAAACAUAAAACAUUAGAAAAAUAAAAAAGAUAGAGAAGAGUGAGAGAAAAAGAGAGGGAGAGAGUAUACACUUACCAAACGAUUUUAGAACCAAAGACGAUGCACAUGUGCUGUUUCAGGGCAUCAUAAGCUGUAGAAAGACCUUAAGAAACAUAUGUAAAGGUUUGUGGACGAAGAGUUGAAGAAGAGAGCUUUGGUUGGUGAAUGUAAUGAAUUUUCAUGGUGGUUAAUUGAAUAUGGUUGAGGGUGAAAUGAAGAAGAAGAAGAAGAGUGAUUAAAGUUUAUGUGGAACCCAGCCGAGAGAGAAGAAGCUAGAUGGUGAAAUCCAAUGGCUAAGAUUAAAACAUACUCAUAUGAUCCAAUGGCUAAGGAAUAAGAUUCAUUAAUGGCAUUGUUGUAAAUAUUUUAUCCUUAAAAAUCCGACGGUUCAGAUUAUAACGUGAAUGAUUUUGAUCUAAUGGUUGAUAUUGAACUUUCAUUAAGGGUAAAAUCAUAAUUUACACUCACUUGUCCCAUAAGAGAUUAGUUUUGGUGGUUGUAGAUUUUUUUUUGGUCCUUUGUCCCAUAAGAGAUUAAAGUCCAACUUUCUCUUCUUCUCUCUAUCGAGGUGAGUCACUUCCUUAUUCCUUCUCCGACUUUGGUCGCAUUUUUUAUUAUUUAGGAAAGUUUCAAAACAAACCCUGAACUUUUGAGUUUUCUCAUAAAUUACCCUACACUUAUUUCGCAUUAAAUAAAAACAAUGAGGUGUCGAACUCUUAUUGGCUCACUGAUGAAGAAGAGCAAACACACGGCGUUUCACACCACUUUUAUUACACGAUCUAAACGAGAUUCUUCACUUGUAAGAGCAUCAGCAUCAAUGAAUCUUGAGUGGGGGUCAUAAUUUUAAUUUUUUUAUUAUUUUUUUUAUAUUUUUUUCGUUUGAUUUAAAAAAAAAAUAUAUAUAUAAGCGGACCAAUCGCGGGCCGCCACGUGGCGUGGAGUCCGCGUUACAGGGAUGAACUCGUAUCAGUGGAGAGAGCUUACACGAUCUGGGUUCACAAAAAGUAGAUUAUUAUAAUAAUUUUUUUUUUUUGGGAAUUGUGUGAACUUUAUACAUAAUCUCCUAAUGCGGGUGCUCUAAUGCCUUCUCUGUACCUUGGUUCUGGCCUUAUCAGAAGCGGCUUGGGAGCUUAAGGGGAGAAAAUAUUCGGCUCCAGCUCUGAGUAUGUGCAAAGCAACGUAAGUUAAACCAUGCUUGUGUAGCGUUUCAUUUAUUUUUUUUAACUCUAAGUUGUUGAUAUGAGCAGAUAACUCGUUAUUUCUCCGAUCCCCAAUACUAUUUUUCAAGUGAAUGAUCAAUAUGUGAGGAACAAGUUGAAGAUUGUUCUACUUCCUUUCCUUCAUAGGGUAAGAGGAAGGCUUACUUUGUUUUGGUAUUUCUCUUUUAUGUGUGUUGGGGGUCAUAUGAUGAGUCCUGCUGUAACCUUAUCAGGGACAUUGGACUAGAAUCUCAGAACCAAUUGAGGGUAGACUUUCAUACAAGCCUCCUAUAUAUGAUAUUAAUGCGCCAGACUUGUACAUUCCCCUCAUGGCCUUUGGCACUUAUCUUGUUCUUGAUGUUUUGUCACUAGGACUCUGUGGCAAGUAAGUUGCUUUAUUUAUCUUAUAUAUUUUUCAGGUGUAUAUGUUUCUUUUUUUUUCAGCCCUUUUGAUCCUUGUGCUAGGUUUUAUUCGGAAGCUCUGAACUGGCUUUUUGUGAAAGGAAUGGUUGGCUGUUUUUUUUGCAAGUCAUGCUGCUGGAGAUAACGUUGCUUUCAUUGGGUAGAGGCGAAUCACCUCUCUUGGACAUUGUGGCAUAUGCAGGCUAUGCUAACGCUGGUCUCUGCUUAGCUGUUCUUUGCAAGACUAUCUGGGGAUACUCUUACUAUGUUUUGAUUCCAUGGACCUGCUUAUGCACCGGGGUUUUCUUAGUGAGCGAGUUCUCUUUGCUGAAGCUAGGAGUUAUGACUCAAGCAGGCAUCAUUACCUCUUGAUCUUUGUAUGUAGCUUUAGCACAGUUUCCUCUUUUGAUCUUGCUUGGUAACAUUAGUGUCAAUCGGCUCUUUUGAGUUCCAUUAUGUUUACCAUGUUGUGAAUAAAAAGAACACCUCUAAUGUUAUAAGAUACAUGCGUGACGGUACUCCUGAUCCUGAUAGGAAGAGUGUUAUCUCAAUUACACAUCUCUCUUUCCAUAUUCUUUUAAUGCCUUUUUUUUUUGCGUUCUACAUUUCUAACAUGAUUAAAACCAAACAAGGACAUGAACUUUGGUCAUAUAGUAUUAUUAUCUCUACUCCAAGCUCUUCUUCUGCAUUGCGAAUUGGGCGUUUGUACUCCUUGGCAGAUCCUCUAAUCUGUUUAGAUAUCCUCUGAAAGUAUAAGCUUCUCCAUGAGUUCUCAAGUCUUUUCCCAUACUUUUUUUGGAAUAUCUCCGGAGAACAUGUUGCUCCGUAGAUUAAUGUCCUUUAGGUUCCCGUAAGUAGUUAGGUUGAGUGGAAGGUGACCUUGUAAAUUGUUUCCUUCAGCGUCAACGCAAGCGUGUUUCCAUUCCAUGCCAAUAACUUGAACAACCUCUAUGGAUAUGAACUGGUUAAGGGAUACAUUGAUGUGUGAGAUCUCUGGAAACGUUAGGAUCUCAUGACCAAUGGUUCCUGAGAAUCAGUUCUAGCUCACAUCUAAUGAAACAAGAUGUUUCAGCCUAUGUAAAGGCGAUACUGUUCUUGUAUUAGGUUUAUGGUUUUGAGCUCCUUGAGGCGUGUGAUUCCUGGGGAUAUGUCUUCGGUGAAGAAGUUUUGAGAGAGUGAGAGUUUGGUGAGUUGGAACAUAGUUUCUGGUAUUGGACCACGGAAUCUGUUCUUGUUGAGGCUAAGGAAACCGUCAUCGUCAACGUUAAUCUCUGUGACUCUGCUUGUGGUGUUCUCGAUAGUGAAAGAACACAUGACUCCCAAGAACGUUUCUGAGCCUUCACAAGGGUCUUCCGAGAUGUGCUUAGGUAAGAGGAAGGGGAGAUGGAACUUGGGUCAAUGCUACGUAUGAUAGACUCUCUAGAACUUGAAUAUCAGAUCGAAGAGUGGCUGAGAGAGCUGAUGAAGGGACAAUAGUUGAAACAAGUAGUAAAACAAUGACGUGAGUAGCAAGAGAGAAGAAGAUGGUUGUGUUUUUUUUGGGUAGCCAUUGUAAUGGUUCUUUCACAUGAGUCAUGAAUGAAAGACAUGUAAGUCUUUUAUAUUUUUGUACUAAGACAAAGAAGAAGAAGGUCGUCGUGUUUAACCUAAUUGGGAUCUAAAGUCUAAACAUGCUUCACAUUUUUGUAGCGUUAUUGAUAAGUUACAUCAAACCAAAUAUAGACCGACCUCAAAAACUCGUAUCAUGUCCCAUUUAGUCAAAGCUAACUUGUAAUGCAAGUUAUUAUCAUCAAAUGCAUACUAAACAGAUUACAUUUGUAUUAUUACUAUAUCUUAAUCUGUUUGAGAUGUGUGUCUAGACUAAAACCGACACUUUUUAUGAAAAUAGCGAAGUACCAAUUAGAGGUUACUAUUUUUGACAAUUUUUUAAAAUAUUGAACAUGAGAAAUUUGGAAGACAUUAUGCAAUACUAUUUUAGAUUUUUUUAAUCUAAAAAUUUGGUAAUCAUUCGACUAAUACCUAAGAAAAGGCAAUUGAAACAUUCAACAAAGUUAUAAAUUAGGAACUUACUAUUUCUAGAAGUUUGGUUUUAUAUAUAAAUACGUCAGUUUAUUGAUCUGAAAUUACUAACAAGAAAAAAAGAAGAAAAAAAAGAACCAUUUAAGAGCUUAUAAAACAAUGGCUAUCGAAAAGAAAACCCUGCUCGCCUCCUUCAUCACCAUCAUGAUGAUGGUAAUGAUGAUCGUGAACCAAGUCGAGGCCAGGAACCAUGUUACAAUCAAGCCGCCUCCAAAGUGAUCAUAGUCUUUUUGUUUUUCUAAAUCGAUGGCUCCAAAAGUUUAUGAGAAAAUAAAUGGUUCCUUCAACGUGGAGCUUAAAGCAUGGCUUAACUAAUUUUUAUUUACUAUAUAUAUAUCAUUCUUUUCAUCCUCUUAUUUGUUUAGUUAUGGAUGUAUAACUUAUAAAUAAUGUUUCACAAAAUAAUAUUUUGUAUGUGAAUGAAAUGUACUAGUGUCAUAUUUCAUAGGCAGAGAUUGGUGUUGUGAUCUCUCUAGAAAUUGAUAACAUUAAUAUUCACAUUCUUUUUUUCUUUUGUUUGUAAUUAAAAAGGAUAAUAAUAUCCUUGUUAUAUUAAUAUUUUUAAGUGAGAUUUAGCUACGAGAUACAGCAUAUAAUAAUCUGCAUGAAUAUAUCAUAAGUUAUGUAAAGCGGAACAAAAAAAUUAAGAUGGAAAACAAAGUCAAGAAUCCUGUUGAUUUGUUAUUUGGCGAUUACUGCGGUCUGCAUGCAUGUACGUUUGAUCUUUGUGACGUCAAUGAAAACUCAUUUUGUAUAUUCUACAGAGAGUGAAUACAUGUCAGAAUAUUACUUAGGAAUGCAACUAGAUAAUGAAAGUGUUUAUGAUUCGAUGAUCCUUUCAUUAAUCACAGAAGUAUAUUUAUACAAGGUUUGAUAGUUAUCGAUAUCUACCGUAUCUAAACUAUACAAAGGAAUAUACUUAUCCUAUGGUUAGGAUAUUGUGAUAUCCUAACUAACAGAUAAUUUGCAUUAUCCAUAGUAAAAAAAAUAUUCUACUUAUCAUCAGGAUCACCUAAUUGUUUACAAUAGUUAUUUUCAAAUCCUUUCAGUAUGAAUUGAGAGAGAGCUAAGAGCAACAUUAUUGGUUAGUAUCUAAAAACAAGUAUCUAAACAAAUUUAGUAUUGUGGAAGCACCGUAGCCUAUUGGUUAAGGUUUAAAGGUUUUUACACCCAGGUAUGGGGUUCAAAUCCCAAACUAUGCAAUUUAUUGCAGAUUACAGAAAAUCCAGGUUUCAAGUCCUGGAGAGAACGGUUUAUUAAAAACAAUAAUGCAGACUACAAAGGAAAGACUUACAAGGGAUCUUCAACAUGGUGCAAGUAAAUCUGGAUAUGCGUGGAUCUUCAUAGGACGGCUCAAGUGAUGCAGUUAGGCGUAGGUCUUCAUAAGGCAGUUAGUAUUGUCGGUUGUCGAAUCGUCUAUGUAAUAUUUCCUAUAUCAUAAUUGUAAGAUCAUAAUAAAUCAGCGUUAAAAAAAAUAAAAAACAAAUUUAGUAUUACUAUUUUAAUACAAUUUAUCUAUAUAAUUCAAUUUAAUUUCCUAAAAAGACUAAAAUAUUAAUAAGUGGACAAUAAGUGAACACAUGGCAUUAAAAUAUCUAAUGAAUUUCCUAUAAACUCUAAUUUUAAAACUUCACUACAUUCUCUUUCCUAUUUUUCUAAUUUGUUUCUUUAUUUUAAAAGUGAAAGACUCCCUAAUAUACUUCCAUUGGAAGUGCUUUAAAGAAAGAAUCGGUUGUUAAGUCUUUAAUUCAUUACUGGCUGUAUAUUAUUAUUGGCUAUCAAUUGGUUAAGUGGUUUAUAAGUAUGGAUUAGUGGUGAGAGUUACGUCAUCCUAAAACCAAACAUUGCAUUACAUAGUAAUAAUCAUUUUAUAACUUUCGAACGAAAAGUAAACACAAACACGAAAAAAACACUCCUUGUCUACUUUGUCUAGACGAGACUUUUCCAUUCGAUUCAUCUAUGGUCUGUUUCCUUUUUUUUUCUUAAUAAGAUCUAUAGCUGGACUUAAAAAUUAAUGGUAACUGGCCCAUACCUCGGCCCAUUAACUAAAAACUGGGUUCUGAUUUUCGAUUCGGUGAAAGAAGAAACCUUUCCUUCUGAGAAAAUCAGGAACUCGUUAGCGCGAACUCGAAGAACCGAAUCGAAUCGAAUCGAAUCGAAUCAACAAAAGAAGAGAUCUUUCUUCAUCCUUCUGGAGAAUACUCGCAGAUUCUCACUUGGGUCGGCACGAUUAGCUGAAAAGGUCCCACCUUUCGGGUUUUUUUUGUUCCUCUCUCACAGAUCUUGCAGUGUCGGUUACAAUGGGAAGACCCUUGCUUUACGACAUCAUCGAGAAACCCGCAACGAGCUGCAUCAUAACCCUAUGCAGCUUAAUCUGGUUCCUGAUCCAGAAGAAGAGUAUUGGCUACUCCCAAGUUGGGCUAAGCUACGAGACUGCUACUCAAGGGCAUUACUGGAGAAUCAUCACCUCUGCUUUCUCCCACAUCAGCGUCUUGCAUCUCGUCUUCAACAUGAGUGCUCUCUGGAGUCUCGGCGUUGUUGAACAGUUAAAGCAUUUAGGUCUCGGAACUGCUUACUAUCUUCACUACACUCUUGUUCUUGUUAUCUUCUCUGGUGGUUUGGUUAUUGGGAUGUAUCAUUUGCUUAUCGGUAGGUUCAAGAUUGAGUAUUUCAGGAGGGUUACUGCCGUUGGUUACUCUUGCGUUGUGUUUGGUUGGAUGACGAUUUUGUCUGUGAAGCAGCCUUCUUCGAAGCUUGAUCUUUUUGGGGUUUUGUCUCUUCCCAUUAGCUUUGCGCCCUUUGAGUCGCUUAUUUUCACUUCUAUUAUUGUUCCGCAAGCUAGCUUUCUGGGACAUUUGUCGGGGAUUCUUGUUGGUUACGCUGUUUCGUGGGGUUUGAUUGGUGGGAUGAACAGCUACUGGGCUGUUACCAUGCUUGGUUGGAUCGUUGUGGUGUUUGUUUUCAGUUUGAAGAAGUCUGGUGCUUAUGAUUUCAGUUUUCUUGAGAUCGAGUCGGUUAGUGAUGCUUCUUUGCCUUCGCUGCGGUUUGUUGGAAACGGACGGACCUUGCAAGCUAGUGCAGUUCCUCUUAGUGGAGUGGAAGUUCUAUGAGCUAGAUGAAGACGGACUGAGAGUUGGUAACCAAGUUAAAAGAUACUUUAAGGCUUUGCGUGAGCUGCUUCCUGUGUUAAUCAAGUUUAGUGUUGUUUUAGGCAUCAUUACAGAUGAGUAGGACAGUCUUAUGUUUGAUGUAUAGUUGCACAAAAAGGGUACCCUGUCUCACCUUAAGAUUACAUCCACUACUAGACCUUUCACAUUUUAUUUUAAUUAUGAAAGCAUUGCUACAAAACAUUCUUGUUGUUUCUUUGAUAUAUUGUAUAUGUUUUUAUCAUUUGCAUUCUUGCAAUUUUAACAAGGUAAUUAGACGAAGCUUUCUGCAGGUGUCUUUGAUUAGACCAGUGUCUUCUCUUGUAAAUUAUUUCAAUCCUCUGUCCUUUACUUUUUUUAAAAAAGGUAAGAAAAGGGUAGAAUAACAACUAGAGAUUCACAGUUGUAGGUUGGAUGGCUUACAGGUCAAACAUAGUCAUGGCAAUUUCAUUUGUCUAUGAGAGUAAUCUAAAUUGGAUCCACUUUGGACUAGUUUUGUUCAUUACCGUUUAACCUACUUCCAACCCAAUUUUCCUUCACAUGAUCUCUGCAUUAUUACCCCUAACUCCUACACAACCACAUUUUCUCUAUAUUUAUUAUAUAAGCUGUACACUGAUCAGGUGAAUAUAAUCUUUAUCCAUCUCUAAGAACUUUCAAAUGGAGAAGAAAGGCCACCGUAGUACACAUGACUCCUUGCUGACACACCACCCAGUUCUCUGUAUCAUUGCCUUGUCUGUAAUUUUCAUAGCGAUCGACCCCUUUCACAUAAGUCCAGUUGGUGGUCGUGAGUUCAAACCCGUGAAGCAUGAGGUUGCUCCAUACAAGCAAGUCAUGGAUAACUGGCCAAGAGACAACCUUAGCCGACUAGGCCAUCAUGGGAAGCUCGAGUUUGUGGAAGAAGUCUUUGGUCCAGAGUCAUUAGAGUUUGAUGGUUUAGGCCGUGGUCCAUACACAGGGUUGGCUGAUGGGAGGGUGGUUAGAUGGAUGGGUGAAGCAAUCGGAUGGGAGACAUUUUCCGUUGCAACAUCAAAAUGGUAAAUGCUUAUGAUAAUAUACUCAUAAGUUUCUAGGUGUUAAUGUUGUGUGUUCAUGAGAAUUAGGUCAGAGAAGACAUGCGCAAGAGGUGUGGAUUCAACAACGAAUAAGCAAUGGAAGCACGAGAAGCUGUGUGGGCGACCUCUUGGUCUGAGAUUUGAUAAAGAGAGUGGAAACUUGUUCAUUGCAGACGCUUACUAUGGUCUACUUGUGGUUGGUCCUGAAGGAGGAGUGGCUACGCCUUUAGCUACUCAUGUGGAAGGCAAGCCUAUACUCUUUGCCAACGAUCUUGACAUCCAUAGAAAUGGCUCGAUCUUCUUUACCGACACAAGCAAAAGAUAUGACAGAGCGUAAGUUUUCAUAAUAAAUCUGUUUCAUGUGUGUUUGGGUUGAUAUAAAGUGUUAAAAACUGUGUGUUUGUAGGAAUCAUUUCUUCAUAUUACUUGAAGGAGAAUCAACAGGAAGGCUUCUAAGAUAUGACCCACCUACCAAAACAACACACGUUGUGCUUGAUGGUUUGGCUUUUCCCAAUGGCAUUCAACUCUCUAAAGACCAAUCUUUCCUUCUCUUCACAGAAACUACCAAUUGCAGGUAUAACCAUAUUAACAACCUUUUAAAACUCAAGCAAGAUAGAUGCCAAAAUACAUGUUUCUGUAUGCAUCUGGCAGGUUAGUGAAGUACUGGCUGGAGGGUUCAAAGAGAGGUGAAGUUGAGGUGGUGGCAGAUCUACCGGGAUUCCCAGACAAUGUGAGAAUGAACGAGAAGGGUGAGUUUUGGGUUGCAAUAGACUGUUGCAGAACACCAGUUCAAGAGGUUCUUACAAACAAUCCUUGGAUAAAGGUACUGGCUGGAGGGUUCAAAGACGGGUGAAGUUGAGGUGGUGGCAGAUCUACCGGGAUUCCCAGACAAUGUGAGAAUGAACGAGAAGGGUGAGUUUUGGGUUGCAAUAGACUGUUGCAGAACACCGGUUCAAGAGGUUCUUGCAAACAAUCCUUGGAUAAAGAGCAUCUACUUUCGGUUGCCUAUACCGAUGAAGCUGCUGGCGACAGCCAUGGGGAUGAAAAUGUACACUGUGAUAUCGAGAUUCGAUGAGGAUGGUAAGGUCUUGGAGGUUCUUGAGGAUAGACAAGGGAAGGUAAUGAAGCUUGUGAGCGAAGUGAGAGAGGUUCAAGGGAAGCUUUGGAUUGGAACAGUGGCUCAUAACCAUAUUGCCACUUUGCCUUAUCCUCUAGCAGUGAAUUAGUGAGCAACAACUUUGAUGUGUAGUUCUUAGCUUCUGGAAGGAUAAAGAUAAUUAUAGAUAUAAUAUGAUGAUUAGACUAAACCAUCUACCUGUAACUAAACUAUCUUUGUUUCGUCAUUGAAGAGUGUCGAUAGAGUACGAUGUCGAUAUAACAAAUGGAAAAUGUAUUACUAACAAAUAAUAAUAUCUAAGUCACAUAAUUUGUACAGCCUAGUUCAUGAGACACAGGUAGAAGUCCCUUGGGUCGUUGUCUGGUUCCGGACCAAAGAAGCUCAUUGCGACAUCAUCACUCGGUAACACUUUCUCUUACAGCCAAUAUGUAACAUAACAGUAGCUAAACUCAGUACGUUGGUGCAUCUACAAAUGAGUAGAAGAAGACAGAUUACAAUUUGAUCAGAUGCCAAAAGAGCGAGGAGAGUGAUUAUUACCAGUUGAGAUUAUGAGCGAAUGUGGAGCUAAGUCUCAAGGCCCUUGUCCAGUCGAAGCAUUUGAUGGCAGUUGCUGCCGUUGCUGAAUCUGUUGAAGAAGGUUAGCCGCAAGCUGUAGAGUCGACUGAUAUUGCUGGCUCUUGUCGACCUCACCAUCUGAUGUACCUUGACCAGCCGCAAGCUGUGGCUGCUGUUGUGUUGGUGGUGGCAUCGCAAUUUGAGAAUGGGAAGGAUUUUCGUUAUAGGCUUGAUUAUUCACGACAUUCUCUUUCCUAUUUUUCUAAUUUAUUUCUUUAUUUUAAAAGUGAAAAACUCCCUAAUAUACUUCCAUUGGAAGUGUUCUAAGAGCAUCUCAAUCUCUAUUCCAUUUUUUUCUCUAAAAUGAAGUAAAAGUGAAUACGAAGUAAGAAAUGCUCUAAUCCAACUCCAUAUCUCACUCCAUAAUGAAAUUUACUCCAUAAAUAGAGUAAUCUAUUUUUUUUUGUUCAUCACUCCAUCAUGGAAUGGGAAAUGUAGCAGGGUUGAAGCAAUUUUACUUUAUUUCCACUUUUACUCCAUUUUGGAGGAAAAAAUGAAGUUUUACGUUAGAGAUACUCUAAAAAAAUAAUCGGUUGUAAAGUACUUAAUUCAUUACUGGUUGUAUAUUAUUAUUGGUCAUCAUUGGUUAAGUGGUUCAUAAGUAUGGAUUAGUGGUGAGAGUUAGGUCAUCCUAAAACCAAACAUUGCAUUACAUAGGAAUAACCAUUUUAUAACUUUCGAACGAAAAUGUAAAACACACACGCGAAAAGGACACUCCAUGUUCCCCUACUUCGUCUGUACGAGACUUUUCCAUUCGAUUCGUCUAUGGUCUGGUCUUGUUUGCUUGUUCUUAAUAAGAUUUAUAGCUGGACUUAAAAAUUGAUGGUAACUGGCCCAUACAUCGGCCCAUUAACUUAAAACUGGGUUCUGGUUUUCGAUUCGGUGAAAGAAGAAACCUUUCCUUCUGAGAAAAUCAGGAACUCGUUAGCGCGAACUCGAAGAAUCGAAUCGAAUCGAAUCGACAAAAGAAGAGAUCUUUCGUUAUCCUUCUGGAGAAUACUCGCAGAUUCUCACUUGGGUCGGCACGUUUAGCUGAAAAGGUCCCACCUUUCGUCUCAAUCCGUUUUUUUUGUCCUCUCUCAGAUCUUGCAGUGUCGGUUACAAUGGGAAGACCCUUACUUUACGACAUCAUCGAGAAGCCCGCAACGAGCUGCAUCGUAACCCUAUGCAGCUUAAUCUGGUUCCUGAUCCAGAAGAAGAGUAUUGGCUACUCGCAAGUUGGGUUAAGCUACGAGACUGCGAUCCAAGGGCAUUACUGGAGGAUCAUCACCUCUGCUUUCUCUCACAUCAGCGUCUUGCAUCUCGUCUUCAACAUGAGUGCUCUCUGGAGUCUCGGCGUUGUUGAACAGUUAAAGCAUUUAAGUCUCGGAACUGCUUACUAUCUUCACUACACUCUUGUCCUUGUAGUCUUCUCCGGUGCUUUGGUGAUUGGGAUGUACCAUUUGCUGAUUGGUAGGUUCAAGAUUGAGUAUUUCAGGAGGGUUACUGCCGUGGGGUACUCUUGCGUUGUGUUUGGUUGGAUGACGAUUUUGUCUGUGAAGCAGCCUUCUUCGAAGCUUGAUCUUUUUGGGGUCUUGUCUCUUCCCAUUAGCUUUGCGCCCUUUGAGUCGCUUAUUUUCACUUCUAUUAUUGUUCCGCAAGCUAGCUUUCUGGGACAUUUGUCGGGGAUUCUUGUUGGUUACGCUGUUUCGUGGGGUUUGAUUGGUGGGAUGAACAGCUACUGGGCUGUUACCAUGCUUGGUUGGAUCGUUGUGGUGUUUGUCUUCAGUUUGAAGAAGUCUGGUGCUUAUGAUUUCAGUUUUCUGGAGAUUGAGUCGGUUAGUGAUGCUUCUUUGCCUUCGCUGCGGUUUGUUGGAAACGGACGGACCUUGCAAGCCAGUGCAGUUCCUCUUAGUGGAGUGGAAGUUCUAUGAGCUAGAUGAAGACAGACUGAGAGUUGGUAACCAAGUUAAAAGAUCCUUUAAGCUUUGCGUGAGCUGCUUCCUGUAUUAAUCAAUUUUAGUGUUGUUUUAAGCAUCAUUACAGAUGAAUAGGACAGUCUUAUGUUUGAUGUAUAGUUGCAAAAAAGGGUCCCCUGUCUUACCUUAAGAUUACAUCCACUAGACCUUCACAUUUUAUUUAAUUAUGAAGUCAUUGCUACCAAACAUUCUUGUUGUUUCUUUGAUAUAUUGUAUAUGUUUUUAUCAUUUGCAUUCUUGCAAUUUUAACAAGGUAAUUAGAUGAAGUUUUGUGCAAUUCUCUUUGAUUAGAGCAGUGUCUUCUCUUGUAACUUGUUUCCAUCUUGUUGGAUGAUUUACAGGUCAACUAGAGUCAUGGCAAUUGCAUUUGUUUAUCAGAGUAAUCUAACAUGGAUCCACUUUUGACUAGUUUUGUUCAUUACCGUUUAACCUACUUCCAACCCAAUUUUCAUUCACAUGAUCUGCAUUAUUACCCCUACCUCCUCCACAACCACAUUUUCUCUAUAUUUAUUAUAUAAGCUGUACACUGAUCAGGUGAAUAUAAUCUUACUUUCUCAUCCAUCUCUAAGAAACUUCAAAUGGAGAAGAAAGGCCAGAAUGGUACACAUGACUCCUUGCUGACUCAUUACCCGGUUCUCUGUAUCAUUGCCUUGUCUAUAAUUUUCAUAGCGAUUGACCCCUUUCACAUAAGUCCAGUGGGUGGUCGUGAGUUCAAACCCGUGAAGCAUGAGGUUGCUCCAUACAAGCAAGUCAUGGAUAACUGGCCAAGAGACAACCUUAGUCAACUGGGUCAUCAUGGGAAGCUCGAGUUUGUGGACCAAGUCUUUGGUCCAGAGUCAUUAGAGUUUGAUGGUUUAGGCCGUGGUCCAUACACAGGAUUAGCUGAUGGAAGAGUGGUUAGAUGGAUGGGUGAAGCAAUAGGGUGGGAGACAUUCUCCGUUGUAACAUCAAAAUGGUAAACGCUUACUCAUCAGUUUCAUGAUUGUUUCAUUCAGUUUCUAGGUGUUAAUGUUGUGUGUUCAUGAGAAUCAGGUCAGAGAAGAUUUGCGCAAGAGGUGUGGAUUCAACAACGAACAAGCAAUGGAAGCACGAGAAGCUGUGUGGGCGACCUCUUGGUCUGAGAUUUGAUAAAGAGAGUGGAAACUUGUUCAUUGCAGACGCUUACUAUGGUCUACUUGUGGUUGGUCCUGAAGGAGGAGUUGCUACGCCUUUAGCUACUCAUGUGGAAGGGAAGCCUAUACUCUUUGCCAACGAUCUUGACAUCCAUAGAAAUGGCUCAAUCUUCUUUACCGACACAAGCAAAAGAUAUGACAGAGCGUAAGUUUUUGUAAUAACAACAACAAAAAAAACUCUGUUUCUUUGCGUUGUGGGAUAUAAAGAGUUAGGGCUUUGUAUUUUGUAGGAAUCAUUUCUUCAUAUUACUUGAAGGAGAAUCAACAGGAAGGCUUCUAAGAUAUGACCCACCUACCAAAGAAACACACAUUGUGCUGGAUGGCUUGGCUUUUCCCAAUGGCAUUCAACUCUCUAAAGACCAAUCUUUCCUUCUCUUCACAGAAACAACUAAUUGCAGGUAUAGCCAUAUAAACAACUCUUAAAACUCAAGCAAAAGAUAGAGUUCAAAGUCAUGGAUGUAGACUCAAUGUUUCUUUAUGUAUCUGACAGGUUAGUGAAGUACUGGCUGGAGGGUUCAAAGACGGGUGAAGUUGAGGUGGUGGCAGAUCUACCGGGAUUCCCAGACAAUGUGAGAAUGAACGAGAAGGGUGAGUUUUGGGUUGCAAUAGACUGUUGCAGAACACCGGUUCAAGAGGUUCUUGCAAACAAUCCUUGGAUAAAGAGCAUCUACUUUCGGUUGCCUAUACCGAUGAAGCUGCUGGCGACAGCCAUGGGGAUGAAAAUGUACACUGUCAUAUCAAGAUUCAAUGAGGACGGCAAGGUCUUGGAGGUUCUUGAGGAUAGACAAGGAAAGGUAAUGAAGCUUGUGAGUGAAGUGAGGGAGGUUCAAGGGAAGCUUUGGAUUGGGACAGUGGCUCAUAACCAUAUUGCCACUUUGCCUUAUCCUUUAGCAGUGAAUUAAUGAACACCAACUUUGUUUGAUGUGUAGUUCUUAGCUUCUGGAAGGAUAAAGAUAAUUAUAUAUAUAAUGUGAUGAUUAGACUAAACCAUCUUCCUGUAACUAAACUAUCUUUGUUUUGUCAUUGAAGAGUGUCGAUAUAACAAUGGAAAAUGUAUUACUAACAAAUAAUAAUCUAAGUCACAUCAUUUGUACAGCCUAGUUCAUGAGACACAGGUAGAAGUCCCUUGUGUCGUUGUCUGGUUCCGGACCAAAGAAGCGCAUUGCGACAUCAUCACUAGGCAACACUUUCUCUUACAGCCAAUAUUUAACAUAACAGUAGCUAAACUCAGUUUGUUGUGCAUCUACAAAAGAGUGGAAGAAGACAGAUUACACUCUGAUAUGCCAAAAGAGCAAGGAGAGUGAAAAUUACCAAUAGAGACUAUGAGGGCAUGUGGAGAUAAGUCUCAAGGCCCUUGUCCAGUCGAAGCAUUCGAUGGCAGUUGCUGCCGUUGCUGAAUCUGUUGAAGAAGGUUAGCUGCAAGCUGUAGAGUCGACUGAUAUUGCUGGCUCUUGUCGUCCUCACCAUCUGAUGUACCUUGACCAGCCGCAAGCUGUGGCUGCUGUUGUGUUGGUGGUGGCAUCGCAAUUUGAGAAUGGGAAGGAUUUUCGUUAUAAGCUUGAUUAUUUGUCAGACCGUGAUAGUUACCUUGCUGAUAACCCUGAUAACAAAGCAAACCAGGGUUCGUAGCUCCAGGGACCGAUACGUAGUUUUGGUUAAGCAUGGGAGUUUCAUGCUGAUACUGAGCUUGAUGUGAACCUUGAGAGUACAUGGAGUAAUUAUCCGAUGGUGGUGGAGGUAACGCCGCCUGGUAUUGCAUACCACCUUGUACCAUUCCACCGGAGUAGCUCGGUGUGCUUGACACUGGAGGAUAGUGCACCGGAGGAGGAGGCAGUUGCCCCACCGGAUUGUACUGAUUGCCUAAUUGUUGAAACGAUAGAUUUGAUGGGUCAGAAACCGUUGAUUGAUCUCUAUUCCAGGCUUGUGAUGGAGCUUCUCCAUUGGAUAAUCCAACGGCUUGGUGACUUUCUGGUUGAGAAUUUGUUGGGAGCAAGGAGGCAAGAGUGGCUAUUAGCUCAGGCGUUAGACUAACCCCAGCUUGAGGCGUUACAGUGUUAUGUACAGCAACAGGCUCCCUAAAAGGAAGAGGCUUCAUUGCUUCCUUCAUACCCCAGGCUUGAUCUUCCCUAGCAGCGUACAAACCGUGAUUGGCACUGGCAGGCGAAUCUCGAGAUUGAUCCAGAUAGUGUGGAGGAACAGUAUGAGAUUCUUGUCUAUACGAUAAAGCUGCAGGAACAGGUGGUGGAGGCAAUUUGAGGACAACACCGUAUAGCCUUUCUCGACCGGAUACUUUGAGCACAUCAGUUAAGAAAUCUGAUGGUGGAACCAAGAAUAAAGUGGUUCCAUCAUCUAAUUUGGCAACACCUGCUCUAUUGUUUGAACCAAGAUAUUGGAGAAAUUCAGUAUAAGACGCGAAGUCGUCUUCGCUGUCUGGUAAGAAGAAAACGAUUUCAAAUCCAAUUGCUUCGGUAUAGUGUUUGGCAAGCAUAUCCAAACCCGUUCGUGCUGAACAGUUGACCAUCUCAGGGCUAUUAACCAUUCCAAAAACCGAUAAUCAGUAAAUCCAUUCGGUACUUGUUAUCAAUGAAUCGAAUCAAACACUAUGCAGAAUCCAUUUUCAGAUCACAACAUCUAAAAGAAUCAACGGAUAAGAUAACUUCUAAUCUAUGAACUAAAACUUAUCCUACAUAAGUGAAGGCAGAAAAGACUAAAGUGCAUGAAAUUUUUUACUCACAGUUCAGAUUCAAUCCCCUUUCCAAUAGGUACACAACGAGCAUGACAAACAGGAGUUCCACCUUUGGCUAUGACUCCUCUCCAAAUGAAAUCAGUAUCAGGGAAACCACGGCCUGGUCUACGUCGAUAUGUCAUAUCCAACCCAGUGAUACGGUCUUCUACACCCAUCGGAGGAAAAGCAUCUACAGAUCCAUCUCUACGACUUCUUUUAGGUUCUCUAUCCAACUGAGCAGCAUCAUAUCCUUCCCAAGAACCACGGUUUGACCGAAUGGGUAGCAUUCUACUUGGUGCGGGAGACGGGAGUAUUCCAGCUCCAGUAGGAGAUGGCCUUCUCCAGCUUCCUUCGUUGCCAACCACAUCGCCAUAUUCUGGACCAAAACGUUCCAUGCUACCUCGGAAGGGCCUCCCAGGGUCAAGAACCACACUGGAAUGUGGUGACGAUAUGUACGGAGGAUCAUUGAUGAACAUAUCAGGUCUUGGUCGUUUGACACCAGAGUAAACAUCGGUAUCAUCUCCCCGUCCAGGGGGGGCGUUAUCGUUUUGGUACAUGAUUGUGAUUCUUGGAUCGUUGAAUAACCUUCCCUGUAGUCCUUCCUUAGCACAGCGAGCUUCCUCAAUGCUUCUAAAUUCCACAAGUGAGAAAUGCCUUGAUGGAUAGCUAAUACAUCUCUCAAUCUCACCAAAAAGAAUCAUGGAAUUGUGCAGCAGUCGUUCGUCUAUCUGAACAGAAGGAGGGUACCCAAUCCACAGAACGUUGCUUGCUUGGCCAUCUCCAGAUGAGUGAGUAUACUGUUGUUAAGCAUAUAAAAAUUUGAACUCAGGAACCUGGCAAGCCGAAAGCUUUCUAAACUAUAAACAUGAAAGCCGAUAAAGGAUUGCACAUAUCACCAGUAAAAGGCUAACCUGGUGCUUAGCACUCAAACUGCCAUCCCUGCCAUCUUCGGAGCCAAGCCGUGGUUCCUACAGAGAUAAGAAUGUUAUGUAAUUUCAGAGUCAUUUAGCAGAUUCUACAACAUAGAUAUGAAAAAGUAAACGCAGAAGAAAUAAAAAUGGAAACACGUGACACAAGUAGAUAUAGAAAGCUUCUAGCCAUGGCAGUCUUAUACAAAUCAUGAAACCUAACACACUCAGUAGAAGCUUCUUACAAAAUGAUUACUGAAACUUAUUUUAAUGUGAAAAAAAGAAAGACGAGAGGACGCUUACUUUUCUUGGCCCUUGUGACCGAAGAAAAUCAACUCGCAAAAAGCUACCACCUAGUCGCUUCCCGUUCAUGGUCUUUGCCUGUACAGCAUCGUCCACGUCAAAAUAGUCAAUAAAAGCCGUCUUGCGAUCCUUAAGAAACCUGAAACUUUCGAUUUCCCCAAAUUUCCUGAACUCUGCCUCGAGUACAUCCUUCGGGACACUCGAGCUGAUUCCACCAACCCAAAGACUCUUACAAGGUUUUGCCUGCACACAAAUAAUUUCCAUAAGAAGCCAAUAAAAUACAUCUUUAACAACAUCCAGAAUUGGCUUUCCUGGUUGUCAUGAAGAGAACCCUUUUAAACACAUAAAUCACUACAAAACAAAAUCAGUUACUAAUUCAAAGAUUGUAAUAAAAUUUCACAUUUAAUGGCUACCAUAAUAAACACACAGCAUGACUUGAGGAGAAUCAUUUCCAUAAAUAGAAGAGAACUAUGUCCUCUCCAAAGUCAACAAAAAAACAAAAAAUCCUCGUGCUGAUCAUAUUUCAAAUUUGGGCACAUUACUAAAAUAAACCAACCCCUUGGACCCACUAAGAUGAGCAGAAAGCAAAAGAUGCUGGCAAGUCUACGAUAACAAAUAAAAAAACUCCCACCAUGUUGGUAGCGUUACUGUUACAUCUCUGAUGGCUAGAGGAACUAGAAACAUUUUGCACAAUCUGAAAACUCUGGGAUUCACCAAGUCUAAUCCGAAGGAUUAAGAUACUAAUUACGUUUCAGAAACUUGAACGCAUUUAAAGUUCAUAAUCAAUCUUUAUGAGAUUAAGCAUUAUAGCAAAACUGUUGUCCGGAACAAAUCACAUACAGUAAGUGGAGUCGAAGCAAUCAUUUGUGGGAACAAAUCAAGCAUACGUGGCAAUCAUGAUCUGUGAAAUUCCCGAUCUAACCAUCAACAAGAGACUACCAGAGAUGAGAACGAACCGGUCGUGCGAAUUCGAUCUUAAUGCGACUCCCGUUCAGAUUGGCGCCUUGAAGAGCCUCCUUGGCCGCAACGGCUUCCUCAACGCGCCUGUAGUAGAUAAAGGCGAAGCAGCGGGAAGAAUACGCGGUGAGCCUGUCGAUUUCGCCGAACCUUCCGAACAGAUCGGCGAGAUCGGAUUCGGUAGUAUCGGGGGUCAGACUGCCGACCCAGAGAUUGGUGGAUUGGAAUCCAGAUCCGUCNNNNNNNNNNNNNNNNNNNNNNNNNNNNNNNNNNNNNNNNNNNNNNNNNNNNNNNNNNNNNNNNNNNNNNNNNNNNNNNNNNNNNNNNNNNNNNNNNNNNNNNNNNNNNNNNNNNNNNNNNNNNNNNNNNNNNNNNNNNNNNNNNNNNNNNNNNNNNNNNNNNNNNNNNNNNNNNNNNNNNNNNNNNNNNNNNNNNNNNNAGGGAAGAGAUUAAUUAAUUUACCUGGAGGAAGAGACUGCUUAAGCUUAUCAGCCUUCUCUUGGUCGAAGACGCAAAGUGUGUAGAGGUACCUCGAGCACCUGACCUUGAACUUGACAAUAUCCUUACUUCUCUUGAUCUUCACUGACCUCGCAUCCUUCCUCCUCGCCGUCAGAAGGAAGUCCUUGAUCUCGUGGAUUUGCUUAGGCUACACACAUAUCAAACCACCAUUUUCAUUCAAUACAAACUAAAAUUACUAGAAACCAAACAGGAAACCGCACAAUAAUAUUAUUACAAGACAACCUAGGAAACAGCGAUGAUAUAAAAGACUAAUACAACAGUCUACUGUAAGAACGAUAAGAAGAGAAAGUACCAUUCUCGCUUCUUCUGAUGUUGUCGCUGCAACUUAAAGAACACAGUGUCGGAGAAGAAAUACAAAGACUGCUCUAAAUAUUUUCUUUAAGAAGCGAAACCCUAGAUGUGUCGCGUAUUCGAAUUUCCAAAUAUACCCCUUAAGCCCAUUAAUCCGUAAAUUUCGCUACUGGGCCCAAAUUAAUAUCCUUAUUUCCUUUUAGAUACCUUUAUUAUAGUUUAAUUACUCUUUUAACCCCAAGUGUUUUGUUCCCAUAUGAUUUUCAACAUCGCGCCACUAAAUAUAUAUUUUCCCGCGCCACUGAAACCUCUUCAACUUCUUCUCCAAAAUCAAAUAAAAACCCUAACCUCUCUCUGUUCCUCCCUUUACAUCGCUUCUCUCUUACUUGAUUCUUAGUUUGAUUUCGAGGGAAAAUUAAAUUAAAAAAGAAGAAGAUGUUUUAUUCGCAUGUUUACUUGGCUCGGAAGGGUCCUCUGGGAACGGUUUGGGCCGCCGCGCACUUGCAACAACGCCUCAAGAAGUCUCACUACACCGCCACCAACAUCCCCAAAACUGUUGCAAUUUUGUUAAAAUACAUUUCAUGUAUGUUUUCCAAAAAUUAUAUGGACAAAGAAGUUAACAAACCUUACAAGAAUAAGGUAAAUCAUGCAAACUUAUGAAAUGGUAUAAAAACUGCAAAAAAAAAAACAAAAAAUUAUCACAAAUAAAAGGAACCUAUCUAAAUCCUUACCAAUUUGGCCAGCUAAUUGUUUUUUUCAUAUGGAAUAUCGAAUGGAAUAUUUCAAUUUCAGAAUCUGAAUAGUUGUACUAGUUAUAUCAGUAUCACUAGUCUGGUAAAUAAGACAUAGUUGGACUAGUUAUACUAGUAUCACCUGUAUUGUUUGAUACAUAUGCAAAAGUUGUAUCAGUUGUACCAUAGCCAAAAACGAUUUAUUCUAUAAUAUCAUGCUUCAUACUUUAACAACAUUAUAUUAAAUCUUAGAAUCUUACUCAUAACGUUAAUAUACAUAUUAUGUGACUAAACUGAAACAUAAAACAUUAGAAAAAUAAAAAAGAUAGAGAAGAGUGAGAGAAAAAGAGAGGGAGAGAGUAUACACUUACCAAACGAUUUUAGAACCAAAGACGAUGCACAUGUGCUGUUUCAGGGCAUCAUAAGCUGUAGAAAGACCUUAAGAAACAUAUGUAAAGGUUUGUGGACGAAGAGUUGAAGAAGAGAGCUUUGGUUGGUGAAUGUAAUGAAUUUUCAUGGUGGUUAAUUGAAUAUGGUUGAGGGUGAAAUGAAGAAGAAGAAGAAGAGUGAUUAAAGUUUAUGUGGAACCCAGCCGAGAGAGAAGAAGCUAGAUGGUGAAAUCCAAUGGCUAAGAUUAAAACAUACUCAUAUGAUCCAAUGGCUAAGGAAUAAGAUUCAUUAAUGGCAUUGUUGUAAAUAUUUUAUCCUUAAAAAUCCGACGGUUCAGAUUAUAACGUGAAUGAUUUUGAUCUAAUGGUUGAUAUUGAACUUUCAUUAAGGGUAAAAUCAUAAUUUACACUCACUUGUCCCAUAAGAGAUUAGUUUUGGUGGUUGUAGAUUUUUUUUUGGUCCUUUGUCCCAUAAGAGAUUAAAGUCCUCCAAAUGUCAGGUUUUGGAAACACAGUAACACACACCUUUUGUCAAAACAUAAAUAAAAAGGUAACACCAAACCAAGGCAAUAUUAAAAUAGCACAGACACACAAAAAAACGGUGGGUAUGCGUUACAGGCCAAAAUCAAUAAUCUACACUGUAAAGUGUAAACCAACAUUGGCAUUUGAAGAAGACAAAGAAGAGAGACGAUGGAAUCUAACGGAGACGGAAGAAAAUGAUGACGUAUUGCGCGACAGGUGCAAAUGGAUACGUCGGUUCUUGGUUGGUUAAGAGCAAGAGCAUCAGUAAACUCUCUUUUGGGGUUCAUUUUUUCAAUUUUUUAUUAUUAAAUUUUUUUCUUUUUUUUUUGAUUUAAAAAAAAAAAAAAAAUUAGACCAAGGCCGUCACGUGUCGUGGAACCCGCACUACAGUGAUGAACUUUAGGAAAAAGGGUUUUGCGCAGAAGAUGCGAGACGAACCGAGCUCAUCGGUUAUACUUAUUUUAAUAUUUUUUUUUUCUUCUGUGAACUUCCGCUGCGCAUGCUUUAAGUCUCUUCUCGGAAGAGGCUACACACUACAAGGAAACAUAACAUAUUCUAGUUCGCUCCUGCUGUGGCUGCUGUUGUGUUGGUGGUGGCAUCGCAAUUUGAGAAUGGGAAGGAUUUUCGUUAUAAGCUUGAUUAUUUGUCAGACCGUGAUAGUUACCUUGCUGAUAACCCUGAUAACCAAGCAAACCAGGGUUCGUAGCUCCAGGGACCGAUACGUAGUUUUGGUUAAGCAUGGGAGUUUCAUGCUGAUACUGAGCUUGAUGUGAACCUUGAGAGUACAUGGAGUAAUUAUCCGAUGGUGGUGGAGGUAACGCCGCCUGGUAUUGCAUACCACCUUGUACCAUUCCACCGGAGUAGCUCGGUGUGCUUGACACUGGAGGAUAGUGCACCGGAGGAGGAGGCAGUUGCCCCACCGGAUUGUACUGAUUGCCUAAUUGUUGAAACGAUAGAUUUGAUGGGUCAGAAACCGUUGAUUGAUCUCUAUUCCAGGCUUGUGAUGGAGCUUCUCCAUUGGAUAAUCCAACGGCUUGGUGACUUUCUGCUUGAGAAUUUGUUGGGAGCAAGGAGGCAAGAGUGGCUAUUAGCUCAGGCGUUAGACUAACCCCGGCUUGAGGCGUUGCAGUGUUAUGUACAGCAACAGGCUUCAUUGGUUCCUGUAUACCCCAGGCUUGAUCUUCCCUAGCAGCGUACAAACCGUGAUUGGCACUGGCAGGCGAAUCUCGAGACUGAUCCAUAUAGUGUGGAGGAACGGUAUGAGAUUCUUGUCUAUACGAUAAAGCUGCAGGAACCGGUGGUGGUGGCAAUUUGAGAACAACACCGUAUAGCCUCUCUCGACCGGAUACUUUGAGCACAUCAGUUAAGAAAUCUGAUGGUGGAACCAAGAAUAAAGUGGUUCCAUCAUCUAAUUUGGCAACACCUGCUCUAUUCUUUGAACCAAGAUAUUGGAGAAAUUCAGUAUAAGACGCGAAGUCGUCUUCGCUGUCUGGUAAGAAGAAAACGAUUUCAAAUCCAAUUGCUUCCGUAUAGUGUUUGGCAAGCAUAUCCAAACCCGUUCGUGCUGAACAAUUGACCAUCUCAGGGCUAUUAACCAAUUCCAAAAACCGAUAAUCAGUAAUCCAUUCGGUACUUGUUAUCAAUGAAUCGAAUCAAACACUAUGCAAAAUCCAUUUUCAGAUCACAACAUCUAAAAGAAUCAACAGAUAAGAUAACUUCUAAUCUAUGAACUAAAACUUAUCCUACAUAAGUGAAGGCAAAAAAAAAGGCUAAAGUGCAUGAAAAUGUUACUCACAGUUCAGAUUCAAUCCCCUUUCCAAUAGGUACACAACGAGCAUGACAAACAGGAGUUCCACCUUUGGCUAUGACUCCUCUCCAAAUGAAAUCAGUAUCAGGGAAACCACGGCCUGGUCUACGUCGAUAUGUCCUAUCCAACCCAGUGAUACGAUCAUCUACACCCAUCGGAGGAAAAGCAUCUACAGAUCCAUCUCUACGAGUUCUUUUAGGUUCUCUAUCCAACUGAGCAGGAUCAUAUCCUUCCCAAGAACCACGGUUUGACCGAAUGGGUAACCUUCUACUUGGUGCGGGAGACGGGAGUAUUCCAGCUCCACUAGGAGAUGACCUUCUCCAGCUUCCUUCGUUGCCAACCACAUCGCCAUAUUCUGGACCAAAACGUUCCAUGCUACCUCGGAAGGGCCUCACAGGGUCAAGAACCACACUGGAAUGUGGUGACGAUAUGUACGGAGGAUCACUGAUGAACAUCUCAGGCCUUGACCGUUUAACACCAGAAUAAAAACCGGUAUCAUCUCCCCGUCCAGGGGGAAUGUUAUCGUUUUGGUACAUGAUUGUGAUUCUUGGAUCGUUGAAUAACCUUCCCUGUAGUCCUUCCUUAGCACAGCGAGCUUCCUCAAUGCUUCUAAAUUCCACAAGUGAGAAAUGCCUUGAUGGAUAGCUAACACAUCUCUCAAUCUCACCAAAAAGAAUCAUGGAAUUGUGCAGCAGUCGUUCGUCUAUCUGAACAGAAGGAGGGUACCCAAUCCACAGAACGUUACUUGCUUGGCCAUCUCCAGAUGAGUGAGUAUACUGUUGUUAAGCAUAUAAAAAUUUGAACUCAGGAACCUGGCAAGCCGAAAGCUUUCUAAACUAUAAACAUGAAAGCCGAUAAAGGCUAACCUGGUGCUUAGCACUCAAACUGCCAUCCCUGCCAUCUUCGGAUCCAAGCCGUGGUUCCUACAGAGAUAAGAAUGUCACGUAAUUUCAGAGUCAUUAAACAGAUUCUACAACAUAGAUAUGAAAAAGAUAAACGCAGAAGAAAUAAAAAUGGAAACACGUGACACAGGUAGAUAUAGAAAGCUUCUAGUCAUGGCAGUCUUAUACAAAUCAUGAAACCUAACGCAUUCAGUAGAAGCUUCUAACAAAAUGAUUACUGAAGCUUAUUCUAAUGUAAAAGCAAAAAAAAAAAAACGACAAGAGGCUGCUUACUUUUCUUGGCCCUUGUGACCGAAGAAAAUCAACUCGCAAAAAGCUACCACCUAGUCGCUUCCCGUUCAUGGUCUUUGCCUGUACAGCAUCGUCCACGUCAAAAUAGUCAAUAAAAGCCGUCUUGCGAUCCUUAAGAAACCUGAAACUUUCGAUUUCCCCAAACUUCCUGAACUCUGCCUCGAGUACAUCCUUCGGGACACUCGAGCUGAUUCCACCCACCCAAAGACUCUUACAAGGUUUUGCCUGCACACAAAUAAUUUCCAUAAGAAGCCAAUAAAAUACAUCUUAACAACAUCCAGAAUUGGCUUUCCUGGUUGUCAUGAAGAGAACCUUUUUAAACACACAUAAAUCACUACAAAACAAAAUCGGUUACUAAUUCAUAGAUUGUAGUAAUAAAUUCCCAUUUAAUUAUUCCCAUAAACACACAACAUGACUUGAGGAGAAUCAUUUCCAUAAAUAGAAGAGAACUAUGUCCUCUGUGUUGAUCAUAUUUUAAAUUUGGCACAUUACUAAAUAAACCAACCCCUUGGACCCCACUAAGAUGAGCAGAAAGCAAAAGAUGCUGGCAAGUCUUUCAUGGUCUACGAUAACCAAAAAAAAACUCCCACCAUGUUGGUAGCGUUACUGUUACAAAUCUCUGAUGGCUAGAGGAACUACAAAGAUCACAUCCAAAUUUACAUCUCAAACACGAGAAACAUUUUGCAGAAUCUGAAAACUCUGGGAUUCACCAAGUCUAAUCCGAAGGAUUAAGAUACUAAUUACGUUUCAGAAACUUGAACGCAUUUGAAGUUCAUAAUCAAUCUUUAUGAGAUUAAGCAUUAUAGCAAAACUGUUAUCCAUAAGAAGAAGCAAUCAUUUGUGGAUCCACAAAUCAAGCAUACGUGGCACUCAUGAUCUGUGAAAUUCCCGAUCUAACCACUAACAAGAGACUGUAGAGAUGAGAACGAACCGGUCGUGCGAAUUCGAUUUUAAUGCGACUCCCGUUCAAAUUGGCGCCUUGAAGAGCUUCCUUUGCAGCUACGGCUUCCUCAACGCGCCUGUAGUAGAUAAAGGCGAAGCAGCGGGAAGAAUACGCGGUGAGCCUGUCGAUAUCGCCGAACCUUCCGAACAGAUCGGCGAGAUCGGAUUCGGUAGUAUCGGGGGUCAGACUGCCGACCCAGAGAUUGGUGGAUUGGAAUCCAGAUCCGUCGGGUUCACGGCCUCUUGAAGGCUUCAUUACUGGUGCCAUCGCUGGUUUUGAGCACGAGACGGGAAGAUUAACACACGAAGGUCCAGUGAUGAAGAAGCGUUGGAAGGUUGAAGAAAUGAAUAUGAAACGACAGCGUUUUGAUGGAACCUGGAGGAAGAGACUGCUUAAGCUUAUCAGCCUUCUCUUGGUCGAAGACGCAAAGUGUGUAGAGGUACCUCGAGCACCUGACCUUGAACUUGACAAUAUCCUUACUUCUCUUGAUCUUCACUGACCUCGCAUCCUUCCUCCUCGCCGUCAGAAGGAAGUCCUUGAUCUCGUGGAUUUGCUUAGGCUACACACAUAUCAAACCACCAUUUUCAUUCAAUACAAACUAAAAUUACUAGAAACCAAACAGGAAACCGCACAAUAAUAUUAUUACAAGACAACCUAGGAAACAGCGAUGAUAUAAAAGGCUAAUACAACAGUCUACUGUAAUAACGAUAAGAACAUAAAGUACCAUUCUCGCUUCUUCUGAUGUUGUCGCUGCAACUUAGAGAACACAGUGUCGGAGAAGAAAUACAAAGUCUGCUCUAAAUAUUUUCUUUAAGAAGCGAAACCCUAGAUGUGCCGCGUGUUCGAAUUUCCAAAUAUACCCCUUAAGCCCAUUAAUCCGUAAAUUUCGCUACUGGGCCCAAAUUAAUAUCCUUAUUUCCUUUUAGAUACCUUUAUUAUAGUUUAAUUACUCUUUUAACCCCAAGUGUUUUGUUCCCAUAUGAUUUUCAACAUCGCGCCACUAAAUAUAUAUUUUCCCGCGCCACUGAAACCUCUUCAACUUCUUCUCCAAAAUCAAAUAAAAACCCUAACCUCUCUCUGUUCCUCCCUUUACAUCGCUUCUCUCUUACUUGAUUCUUAGUUUGAUUUCGAGGGAAAAUUAAAUUAAAAAAGAAGAAGAUGUUUUAUUCGCAUGUUUACUUGGCUCGGAAGGGUCCUCUGGGAACGGUUUGGGCCGCCGCGCACUUGCAACAACGCCUCAAGAAGUCUCACUACACCGCCACCAACAUCCCCAAAACUGUUGGUUCGUGUUUCUUACCCAUAAAGUUCGCUCCUUUAAUUGCCCCCUUCACUGCUUCUCUGUAAAAGUUUCAGACUUUUCGAUAAAAGCAGAGGAUUGUUGAUUAAUUUUGUUUUUUUUUUUAAUUGCAGAUCUUAUAAUGUUCCCGGAGGCACCUUUGGCAUUGAGAUUGUCGGGUCAUCUUUUACUUGGUGUUGUCCGAAUCUAUUCAAAGCAAGUUGAUUAUCUGUUCCGUGACUGUGCUCUCGUCACUUCUUGGUUAUCCAAGUCUUUUGUUUCUACUCAAGUUGAUUUGCCUGAGGAUGCUAGACAGGCUCCCGUUGAGUCUGUGACUUUGCCUCAAGCAUUGAACUUGGAUGACUUCCAAUUGGAUGAUGACACGCAAGAAGGGUACCCCCAUCUUCUUAUUUUUUUCACUUUCUAUUGAAGCUUGUUCUGUUUCAAAGAUCCCAUCUUUGGCUUUGGUAUUAAUACUUUUUUAUUAUCUUCUUGUGAUUAAUAGUGAAUAUGAUAAUCAUCUUAGGAGUCAGGAAGAUAUCACUCUCACAGGUACUUUUGUUUGACUGCUACUUAUUUAUUUGGUGUUAGAAUAAUUAGAGGUGUUUAUGAUGUUGAUGCUGAUUAUGCAGAUCAAAUCCCCACUGGUGUUGAUCCUUAUGUUGCUAUAACAUUCGAUGAUGUGAGUUUCCUACUUGCCUUCUUAUGAUUAUGAAGUUGAUUUUGAUUACUGGUUGUUGAAAGAAAGUUUUGUAUGUCUUUCUUACAGGACAUCAGUUCAGGACCUAGCCCAAUGGACGUUGAGUGAGUCUCUUUAUAAAUUUUUGAUUUCAUCUACUUAAUGUUCAAAAAGUCGGUAGGAGACAGUUAGGCUCUUUAUAUGUGAUUAUUGAUUAGGUGGGCACCUAAACUGAUUUUUUGAGGGUUGGUCUAGAAUUUUUUUUAUUUGUUUAUAUCUGAUAUGCCGACUAGACCUAUUUUUAGAACACUUGCAUCUACUACCCAUAUGUUCAAGGAUAUGCGUUUUUUAAUGUGGUUACCUCUUCUUUGUGAUAUGAGCAGCCAAGCUACAGAGCCUGUUAGUGCGCAUCCUGGUGAUACUGAUGUUGAAAUGACUUUUGAGACAGAAGUAAACAAUGAGCGAGGAGACUUCAAUGUUGGUCGUAACGACACAGAGGAAAUCCCUGAGUUCCAGGAUCCUAGACCGAGUAACUUGACGGAACCGCUUAAUCUCAGUCCAGAGAGAGGCAAUGCCAAUUCUCCUGGAAGUGUUCCUGAAGUUGAGAUAAGGCGUGAUGAUGCUGCUGCUCACGGUUUAAGCCCUGCGUCCCAUUUACCAUUCGCUACAGAACACACUGAACCUUUAGAUGAAACUAUGAACGAGAAGGAACCCAGUAUCCCUAACCUUGAUGAUGAAGUGUUGAGUUCUAGAGGACAGGCGUUUGAGCUUCGCUCAGGAUCUCCAGGCUUUGCUGGUUUUGAGGAAGAACGUGAUAAUUUUGGUGAGUGAACAUCAUAGUUUGAUAACUCUUUGCUUAUCUUAUCAUUUAUCUGAUAUAUGAUUUUGUUUUGAUGUUCAAGUCCAUCCAUCACCUCAACUAGCUCUUCAGCCAACUCCACCACCUCCUCCUCCUGCACAACAACCAAGGCCAAGGAAGAGGAAGCACUUUGAUAAGGUCACAGUAUUAACUAACAGGUAAUAAAUAACCUUUCUACUGGCUUCAUGUGACUUUGAUUAUUUCAUUAUACUGAUAAUAAAGUCUUUUGACAGGAUCAUGAAAGAGAGGCUUGAGGAUCCUAGUGAUAUUCUUCGUAAGAGAAAGAAGAUGCCUUCCUCUAAACUAAGUAUGUGGAGAAUGAAUAACCAGACAAAGAAGGAUCAAAUCUUCAGUGAGCCCUUGCUUACAGGUAAAUUUUCAAUGAUUCUUUCUUUUGUUUUCUAACGGUGUCAGCUUAUUUUGACUGUCUAUGACUAUCUGCAGGCUUUUCAGAUGGUUUACGCAGUGUCUUUGAUAAGGACUGUGUAUCUUCAAAGCCAAAUCUUGCUGUUCCUAAUGAAAGUGUUCCAGACCCUGCACCUGUAUCAUCUCCUACUCGUGAAGCUGAAGCAGAAGUUCGCCCUACCUCUUCAGUUCCUCAAUCUCCGAUUCCUGAUUCUACUCAUCCAGACACUACACUUCAGCAGUCUCCGGUUCGGCAAACUGAAGAUAUCCAAGACUCUGCAGGUCCUCAAUCCGCGCGUGGAGAGUCUGUACCAAGAGAAGCCCAAUCUCCACCGCCAUUUAAUGAUGAUGACACAGGAAUCGAACGCUUCAGAGAUGGUGGUUACACUGACUUCAUGCCGUCGCCACCUCCUAGGUUUUCACCUUCUAGUAGAACCGAUGACUUCACCACUCAGACUAGUAGAGCUUGGGAGACGGAAUCUUAUAGAACAGAGCCUUCAACUUCCGCAUAUCGAGAUGAUAUGCCUGGACUAAUGAACUCAGGGAUCUCAGCUAUUCCCGAAAUGGCAGACGAGGUUUGUCUCACGUUUUUUACAUGUUUUGUGUUUACCAUUCUUGGUUCUUUGCUAAUACCAUUUGCCUGUGUCAUUACAGGAGCUUUAUUUCCUGGAUGUAGGUGGCAACACUCCGGUGAGAUCACCAGCUUGUCAAGAUUCUGAUGCUUUGACAGGGAGAACAAGGUAUAAAGAUCCCAUAGUCCAUUUAGCUUUAAGAGCCGAAUGUUUCUCAACUAACAUGUAACACAUUCACUGAACAUUGCAGAGCCUUGGCUCAGUAUCUUAAAGAACGCUCUUCGAGUGGUCCCUCUUCAAGCUCUUCUUCAGGAGAUCUAAGUUUGGGAAAGAUCUUGGAGGGAAAGACAAGGAAGCUAGCUGCUCGAAUGUUCUUUGAGACACUGGUAAUAAAUUCCUCAAUACGGUUUCUUACUUCUUUUUUUUUAUGUCAGCAUUGCCUCUUUACUGAGACGAUUUGCUUUUGGAUUGCAGGUGUUGAAGUCUAGAGGACUUAUUGAUAUGCAACAGGAGCAACCUUACAGCGAUAUCACUCUGAAGUUGAUGCCUGGCCUUUUUUCAAAGGUUCAACAAUGAAUAAACAAUGCUCACUGGAUUUUAUUUAUUUGUAUAUUAGCAUAGAUUCUAGACAAGGAAGUGGUCAUCCUCAGUUUGUUGAUCCCAAGUUUGUAUGUUUGGAAGAAAUAAUUUUGUUACAUUAAAACGAAAAACGAAUUUCCUCAAAAAAAGUUGUCAAAAACGUUGUACGCAUACAUAGACUCGUGAAUCUUUAACUCUGCAAAAUCCGAAGACGACCUACCUGUUUUAAGCUUGUUCUUCUUUUAUAUAUAUUUAGCAUGACUAUUGUUUCUAUAAAGGAAACUAACAGUUAUUGGUGGAAUCUAUCUUAGUCAUCAUUCUUUAGUGGGCAGGACCAUGAGAUGAACUUCUUUGGCUGAAGUUCUCAUCAUGACUUUGAAUCUCUUCUGGGAUCUGGUUCUGCGUCGUGGUUUGAUUCUGUAUCUGGGACUGAGUGUGGUUCUUGAUCUUGAUUACCUGAUUCUGAUAAAAGCUAUGCAGUUAGAUAUGAGGAAAAGCAAGAUUACCAAAACGCAAUAAAGUUAGACUUGUGUGUGUUUUGUGUCAGUUUCAGUAAACAUGUCAAGCAACUAACCUUGUACAUGUAUUUUUCCACAACAGAAACAGGUGGAAGAGCUUAGAUGUUACAGAAACAUUUCAUCGAAAUAGAAUAAAUCUAGUGCCUUUGGAUGCAGUUAUAGUUUACGAAGUUUCAUGGCUGUGCGUAUGCAUCUUCUAACUCGAAUAGCAAGCAGCUUGUCAUUAAAAAUCUGCAAAUAUCUCAAACCAAUAAGAACAGUACAAAGUCCUCAACUACAAGCACUGCAAAGAAGAAGGCUCAAAGAUGCACAAUUGCAGUGGAAAAACAUCAUACCUUGAUCAUGUCAUCAAUGGACCGAGCUUCCUUCAUGAUCUUGUGCCUAUUCAUAAUCAAGAUCGCUGCCACACAAAAGACUGGAAGAGGAUCAUCUCCCUUUUCAAAGGAUGAAACAACAGAAGAAGAGACGUGUGUUCUUUCGUUCCUAGACCAUAAGUUUCUUGUCAAGCCACAGAAAUUAUAUGAAGAUGAUGCUGACUUCAUCUCAGUAUCGUUGUCGUCAGACAUAGGACCAGUCUUUGGCAAUGGACCACUUCUUGGCAGUAGACUGCUUAUGUACAACAGGCUGCUCUUUGACAAUGGUCCGCUCUUUGACAUUCUGUCGCUGCUCCUCGAAGUUGGUUCACUAGUUGUACUGUUCCUAUGUCCAUCAUCUAUCUUAGGGUCCCCUAUCUCAGCUUCUGAUUGUCUAGGAAGCUGAAUCACCAACGGCUCCAAGCAAUCAUUCUCCAGAGUUUCAGCAACAGAGGCAUUAAAAUCAGCAGCCCACAUCAUCUACAACAGAAGAAUACAUUUGCAAGAGUUUUGAAUCUUAUAAGUAAAGACAAUUAGAUCCAUGAUUCUCUCUUUGACCAAGCUCUUAUUAUCAUGAACAUAAUUAUCAUAGUUUCAACAGCUAAACCAAAUUCAAUAUAUGCAGUUAUGUGAAGAUGAACUUGUUCUACAGUUACACUAAAGAACCUAUUGCUUCCUUGGACUAUACACUAAAGAGGUAGAGAAUGAGCAAGAACAGAACAAACAAAAUAAGAAGUACCAACCUCCCACAUCCUUAGAGCCUCAUCAAAAGACAACUCCCUUCGGAACAACACUAACAGCAUCCGGAACGCAAAGUGAAGGCUUUCAGCACCAAUACGAGAUAUGUGAGAAAACAUUUCUUUAUCUGUCAGUUGCAAUAUAUGCCACAAUGUUUGCAAUUGAUCCAUCACUCCCGUUGGUCCUUCCAUCUGGAAAUUUGCACGCUGCAGUAAUAAAACCACAUGAGAGAACAUCAAGUUACAGCUAGGAAACAAACAUUUGUUACAUAUCAGGAAUCAUUAUAAUACCGUUCUUCUUAUGAGCAUCUCAAAGCACCAAAAAGCGUCAGCAUUAUCUUCAAAAAGAACCACAAAAGGAGACACCAAAUCGCUCAUACCUGUCAUCAGUUAGUAUCCUACAUCAGUAUGCAUGACCUCAUAGAGUGUCAACUAAUAACAAGUUAACUCAAGAGAGAUGUGGAACCUUGGCAAUAACCAGUUGCAGGAUCAACCCAAGCAUAGACAGCAAGGAUAUCAGACAUUCUUCCUAGAUUUCUCGGAUCCUCGUAGAACUCAAGGUGUGUAUCUGUCCUUACCACAUCCACAACUGUUUGAAAACAAAAAAUAUAUCAUUGAUCCCUCAGAGUAGUGACCAUUAAAAACAUAAGAGACUAUACACAACUAGUACCUAUUCGGUGCAAUGUCCAAAGCCAUUCAGACAUCCGAUCUUCCGUGACAGUCCCACCACGAGAAGGAGUCUCCUUUGCUGAUGGCACUUCAGGAACAUCUGAGAUUCUCAAACCAUCAACUAUCUCCACCGUGGAGCCAGAAUGAGACAGCUGUUCAACUGACUCAGGAUGCACCACUUCAAUCUCUGAGUGAAUGGAUGCAGAUCUGUUGUUGUUAUAAGAAGACUCUAUAACAAGAUCUGCGUUCUUAUCAAUUCUAAAACUGUGCAUUCCCUCAUCCUCAGAUCUUAACUCACUCCGAACUGAAGCUUCCUCAUCUGGAGUAGAAACCCCUUUCUUAUCUAAACUACUCCUCCCAAACAAAUCUGUGACUGCUAGAGAGGGGAAGUCAAAAACACCAUCCGCAACAAAAGGAGUGCUUUCAGGACUUUCUCUUCCACUUACUAUGUCAACUGACUCACUAGAACUUCCUCUUCUAUGGCCAUGAGAUGUGUCAGUGUCGUUAUUACUCGAAUCACCACCGUGGUUUUCAAUAUUCUCAUUAUCAUUUACAGAAGCUUCUGUGCUUCCAUCUGUAGAUUCCUUUACAACUUCUUUCUUGUAUGAUUUUCGCAUGUCCAUGACUUUGGAUCCUACAACAUAGGCAAGCGAACCAGUUCCCACGCUCGAAUGCAUCAUCUGGCAUUGCUUCAGCAGAUCAUUGUAUCGUUCUCUGCAUGAAUGGUAAAAGAGAGAGCAUCAAACUAAGAAGUCUCUCUGAUGACAACAUAAAAAAGCAAACAAACAGACUGUCCAACCUUCGAGCUUCCCUGAGUUGACUACGGUACUCAGAGGUGCUGCUCAAUGCGUAACAGCCAAGGAGAAACUCCCAAACUUCAGCUCUUAUUGAUGGGUCGAUCCCCUAAUAACAAGAAACAAGGGGGAUGUAACGAAAGAAGAAAGUGUGAAUGCUACAAAACUCAUCUGAAAACAAAGGAAACAUUACCCCCAAGAUAAUUAAUUUGAGCGCCUUGUGGAAACCAAAAACCUUUCCAUCACAAUCGAAAAAAGCCCUCCACUUCUCUGGCUUAAGCAUCUUGCCUAUCUGUACAAUCAACACACUAAACACAUUGAAUCAUCUUGCUGCAGGUGGGAGCAAAACUACAACAUUAGUACAUUAUACUUUCAGCAGGCAACACACAAUGGGUUCUGAAACUUUCAAGACAUAAAAGGGUGAGGGAUACUUCUUACAGAUAAAAGAAGCUGAAUCCCUGGUUGUGAAAGACAAGGCUGGCUUAGAUCCCGGACUAAAGAAGCCACUUUUUGCAAACUUACCACACCAGCUUUCCCACAAGUCCAUUUCUUUCCCUCUCCACCACAAAGCAUCAGUAAUCAAACGGAAUCAUCCGCUAGAACCCAACCCCAAAAGCACCAAAUCAAAAAAACCUGCAACAAGACAGUAAAGUAUCAACAUAUGAACACAGCCAAUAAUGAAAUAAUUAUAUUGUCAUAGACAAGCAAAAAGAGUGAUAUAAGCAGUGAUGAAUGUAUAUGAACCAACCAACCAAACACGAAUCUAGAAGGAGCCAAACAAAAUCAGAAUCUAACUCUCGUUGAUUCCAGAUAAUUAGAGCUUGGAAAGGAGAAAACUUUGGGGUCACAAACAUGAAUCAGAGGAGAAGUAAUGAGAGAUCAUUCGAUCUAGACACAAAAAAAAGUAGACUGGAAUCCCACAACAGAAACAGGUGGAAGAGCUUAGAUGUUACAGAAACAUUCAUCGAAAUAGAAUAAAUCUAGUGCCUUUGGAUGCAGUUAUCAUCCUAAGAUAAGCAAUGCAAUUAACAAAAAAUGGCGAAUGCAGAGAGAGAGAACCUGUUAAUUAAAAUGUUUUAUGGAGGAUGCUCUUCACCGAUCGCCAUUAUUCCUUUCUCCGUUUAUUUAUCUCUCUCUGUUUUCUCUCGUCUCUCGUUGUCUUUCUUUUUGUUUUUCUGAUGAAACAAGUUUAUGUUUCUUGUCUCUUCUCUCUCUUGUCUCCUGUCUUUUGUUUUGUCGUCUCUUUUCUCGCAAAACUUUCUCCUUUUUCUUUUUAUUUAUGUUGACAUUCAAUUUAGUCAAAUGUAAUUUUACACUCAUGAUGAUCCAUGAAAAUAAGCCAAAACAUUAAUACUAAUAUUUCCACUCAAGUGUGAUAGUGAUACAUGAAUCUCAACAACAUAAAGAAAGUAUGUGAGCCCCUACUAUUAUUAUUACUCAAAAAUUAACAUUAAUUGUGGUCCGGUCCGGUGGAUAUGCCAUGCAUGUUACUUUUAGAUCUGAGCAAGUGUUCCACUUAAAUGCAUUUUUUUCUUUAAUUUAUCUUUCAGGAGAUAUAUAUAUAUGUUUUUGUCUUCUAGUUGGGCAAAAACUUUUUUAUAUAUUUUUAACUUUUUUUUUAACCUUUUUUUUGUUAUUUUCUUAAUGUGGGGUAGAAUCGUCAUUUACGUUUCCUCUUUUCCUUAGGUUUUUUUUUGGGUUUCUCUGCAACUAUAAUACGCGACAGCUGACUGAUUUUGAUGGCCUGUAGAGCAAUUUUCUUCGUUUUUCUUGCCCCAAACUUGAUAGAUCUUAAGUAGAUUAUUCGAUUUACGGAUUGAAAUAAUAAAAUAUUUAGUUUUUUUUUUUUUUUAAAUCCGAUUUUUUGAGCGUGGACCUGCAGUUCGCCAGAGUUUUAGAAGAGAUUAGUUUACUGUCUCUGGUGAAUUAGUUUGGAAAUGGAAAGUAGUGAAAGAGAAGAGCUUGGUAGCUUCUUAACUGCUGUUCCCCCUGUGGAUUUCUGUUGUGUUUAUGGUUCAACGCUGCACCCAAAUAACCAAGAUAAGGUAUUUUAUUUAUUUCAUAUCUAUCUGUGUGUGAUUAGAGAGCUUUCUGAUUGAUUGACCAUGCAGUCUAAAAUGGUGGACUACAUCCUUGGCGUUUCUGAUCCCAUGCAAUGGCACUCUCAGGUGAGUCUCAAGAAACACUUUCAAUAGAUUAUACUAGGCUGGCUGGAUUUUUAACUAUUGUUUUGUAUCAAGAAUCUGAAAAUGAAUUCACAUCACUAUGCUUCAUGGAUGGUUCACCUUGGUGGAGCUAGGCUGGUAUGUUUUUCUCUCCCAUACCCUUCCGUUGCUUUUUAAGUAAACAAUGAACGAACGAACACACACUCUUUUCCACAGAUUACGGAAGUUGCAGAUAAAGUAGGUGUUGGAGUUCACUUCAACCCAUUUGUCACUUGGACCGACAGGGUAACAACCUCCUGUACCAUUCUUUAUAACCUAAUUGAACAAUCCAAGCUUGUGUAUUUCAUUUGUAGCCAUUUUUUUCUUGCAGAAGCUAAAGUAUGGGGUUGUUCGGAUGAAUGACCUAGUACAGGACAUUCUGGACUGGAACAGAUUCUACUUGAGUGGCCGUUUACAAAAACCGGUAUGUCAUUUGCUUGGUCUUCUCACUGUUCACCGUGCAAGGAUUGUGAGAUGUAAUUGGGAAGUGCCACUCUUGGUUGCAGCUUCAUUUGCUUGUUGAUAAUCUGGACAUAGAAGACGUCAACUCUGUUAAUAAGAGAGCCGCACUAUCUGCAGCCCUUCUUCUCUUGCCUUCCAAAUUCACCCAGGUUAGAGUUCAAAUGAAGUUUUAUGAGGCUGUACACUAAAUAACUAACACAACUCUUAUGCAGGAAGAUCUAUACGCCAAAAUAUGCAGCCUUUCUUACAUGGGAGACUUGCGAAUGCUUUUUGCAGAGGACACUAAUAAAGUGAGAGAAAGCCUAGUCCUGUUCACAUUGUCAUAACAUGUUAAUAUAACUUGUUCGGAUGAAAAGAUUUCUGAUCCAUUAGUUCAAUCUCCUGUCUUUUAGGUGAACAAGAUUGUAAAGGGGCAGUUUGAUCUUUUCCAGUCAAUGUAUAAGCCUUUUCUUCAAGAGUGCGAGACCAAAAACUUACUGAGAUUCUCAUCUGCUGAAACUAAUUUAGUUCAGGUACACACAGUUCAGAGCUAUAGCCUAUAUAUAUAUAUGUGGUUGGCUCACUCUUGAGAUUCUUUCAGUCAUUGUUCUGAUACCAACUUGUGGACAGGACUCUAGCCUUUCAUCAUCACGCUCACUGGUCUCUUCUCUUCCUGCAUCAGUAAGAAGCCAAAUGAGCAAGUUACUUGGGGAAAAGAAAAUCUUGAGUGAGACCGGUAUCAACUCUGCUCUCUCUAGUUAUAUAAAAAGGAAAUGGAGGGAUAGUAAUUGAUGGUUGAAAUGGUACAGGUAGAGUUUCAAGGGAAGUUUGUAUAGGUUCAAGAGAAGAAGCAGCGAAAUGUAUGGAGAAGGUAAUGAAGCGAAGGGUAAUGGUUUCAAGCGCAAGACAGGCUGUGUCUGGCUUCUUGGCUGCUGGUGCUAUUAAUGCAACUGUGUAUCUUUCACAGAAAAUGCGCAAAGCUUGGAAUUCUCGGUCAUGAAAGACUUUUAGAUCAACUGUUAGUUGAAGAAAGUAGAUCUUGCCACUAUUAGUUCUUCUUUCUUUCUUUUUCUAAGUACCAACUUUUCUUUUUGUGUUGAUGGUUAUGUCUUUUUCUAAGUAGAUCUUGCCACUAUUUAGUUGAUCAUUCUUUCAUUCUUUCUUCUUUUAGUUGAUCAGUAAAAUGCAUUCAGUCGUCAAAGACCUUAAAAAUUUGCAGCUCUUCACCUGCCAAAUAUAGCUAAGUAUCUCUUCUAGUGGAGGAAAAAAACUGUUUGCUUGCUUAGGACUAAGUCAGGCAUUAUAUAACAGGUGAUACUUCAAAAUAUUAUAAGAAUGACAUCUAGUUAAGAUGCAUGGUAUACUUUCUUAAAGCCAAUGUUCAAUCAUAAGCACUACUACAAGAUCUUUCAUAUACAUAUUAAGUAUCACAACCCUUCAUAUAUAUAAACUUUCUUAUAACCAAAGUUCACUACAAGAACUUUUAUAUACAUAUUAUCAUAACCCUUUAGAUAUACAUGUGGCAAUCACAAUUCAUGAUUCGAUUAUAUAUUCCUAUGAGCAUAUGAUUCAAAAACCAAUAUACUUAAACCAAUUCAAGAUUAUAUACAUUGGAUCUAAAUCAUGAUUUAAUUUGAUUACAUAACAAUUAACUUCAAUAUUGGUAUUUAUAAUUGGCUGACACAAAAAAAAACAUACCAAUUAACUUUAAAGACAUAUUCAGCUGCUUGUGUUAUGAUUUGAUUUAUAUGAUUUGGGAUACUCGCUAGUUUGAAGAACUUCAUCCCUAGCCUAUGGCAUGAUCAAUGUAGAUAAUGAAAAGGAUUAGAAGAGCUGUACACUUUAGACCUUACCUUGAAGACCAAGUAAGAAAGGUUUGAAGCUCAUGCGAAGGCUGGAGAUUACACUAG